AAAAAAAAAAAGUUGUUUCCCUUAAGUCAUGAAAAGAAGAAAUAUUGUUUUUGGUUCCGUUUGAUUUAUCAAUCAAUAUGGCCUGAAUCAAUAUGACCACUGAGAUAAUCAUCCAAAUCCAGAGAUAUGCAUGGUCGUCGCCCUCGUAUUAGAGAGGGUUGUGUGCAUGCUCAUAGGCUUACUUACAGUCCAAUUGACCUCACCAAAGUGAUAGAUUCCUUUCCCAAAAUCUUUUUGUGAAUAUGAAUAACAUAUUUCUUGAUGAUUUUUUUAUAGAUGCAACAGUAAAAAAUCUGUCGGAGGAUCUCUCGCCUACAUUUUAGUUUGCAUAAAAAAUGUGAAGUUUGGUUUACAUUUAAUGUAUACGAUUAUGGAUGUGGAUCUAUCGAUCUGUGUAUGUCAUUUUGAUGAUUCUUGGACGAGUGACGGUGCAACUAGUGGUUCUUGAUGGAUUAAUGGCACAUCCAGUUUAUUGGGUGAAAUCUCAACACCUUCAUCUUUAAACUCCAUAAAUGAUUUGGACAAUGAAAUGUCAACAACAUAAUCACGAUUUAUUUAUAUUUUGUGAAGGUUUUUAUAUGAUGACUUCUGCACCAAAGUUACAUGAAUUAGCCAUGAUUAUUAAGUUUUUAUCUAAAAGUUACAUGAAUUAGCCAUGAUUAUUAAGUUUUUAUCUAAAAGUUACAUGAAUUAGCCAUGAUUAUUAAGCUUUUAUCUAAAAGUUACAUGAAUUAGCCAUGAUUAUUAAGCUUUUAUCUAAAAGUUACAUGAAUUAGCCAGGAUUAUAAGUUUUUAUCUAAAAAUGAGUUAAUUCGUCAAUUACAUAUACAAACAACGUUUAGGCAGAUUUCGUUGCUUCAAUAAUUAAAACGUUUAAAUUCUAUUUCGUUGCUUCAAUAAUUUAAAACGUUUAUUCUCUUUAGUAACUUUAGUUGUGAUGCAUCGAACUUUGUUUGUAUAAUAAAGUUGCAUAUGCUUGUUGACACAAUAUUCUCAGUUUUCUAGCAUUGAUAAGCAUUUGUAGACGAUCAAAGAACCAUGUAGGAUACAAAUUAGUUGUCAAUAAUCUAAAAUACAAGUUAUAAUGACUUUGUACCUUACAAUCUUACACCACUUAUACAUUACAAUUCUGUUGGUCCAAACCACCUAAGAAAGAAAAAAAGAAAAGAUGAAGAUCGUUAUACCAAACAAAAAAAAACCCGCCAAUUUUCUAAAUUAACCCUUUUUAUUAGUAAAGUUUUCUAAAAAUCAACUUUUUUUUUGUCAACAACUAAAACCAAUCUUAGUCAAAUUUUUGAGUUAUCCAAAAGAAGUCGACAUUUUCGUUAGUUCCAAAAUAGCUCAAACUUUAGAGUUAUCUAAUUUUUUUGAUGAUACUACGUAACAAGUUUAACAUUCAAAAAUUACUCUAAUCGAAACAAACUUGAAAGAAAAAAACUGCUGUGGAAAUAAAUAAUACGCGUUAUCUUGAAAAAAAUAGGAAAACUAAACGCGCGAUUUGGUCAAUGUGGUCGUGGAUGGGUCACCUAAUCUUUUUAAUUUCCCUCUAAAAAAAGAAGAAAUAAAUUUUCUCCCAAUUUCCUCGAAGAAGAACAUUAGAAAAUAAAAUGUCAGGAACUGAAAAAAACUACGAAACCAAUCAGAUUCGGCCAUUUCUUUCCCUCUUUUCUUUUUUCUCCCAAUCACUCUUCAGAUUCCGAAAAAAAAAGCAAACAAAGAAAGAAAAAAUAGAUUCUUUAUCACCGGAGUUUUCACCGGACUCUUAAAAGAUGAAUACGCCGAACUGGGAACUCCGGAGUUGCUGUAACCGAAACCAGAACACGUUCCUCAUCACCAUCGGAAUCUUCACCGUCGUUAUCCUUGUGGUUAGUUUUUCCCAUCUAAUGUCCUUGAGAGAAAGAGUUUAAAGUUUUGACCUUUACUUGUUUUCUUCGAUUCAAAUUGAAGAUCCGACAAAUUUUUUUGUAAAAGUUAGUUUAAAGGGUAUCUCGAUUGUAGUGUUUUAUGCAACUGUUGACUUAUAAUUUCAUUCAAAGUUUGUGACUUUUGGCAUCAUAAAGUUUCUAUAUUUGUUCUUGUUUCUUAAGAUCUUCACAGAGAUUUCUUGGUUUUGUUUUUAACAGCUAUGGAGGACAUUUCUAUUGACUCCAUUUAAACUAAUCACGGUGUUUUUGCACGAAGCGAGUCAUGCUGUUGCUUGCAAGCUCACAUGUGGAGAUGUAAGGAAGCUCUCUCACUUCAACUACUACUUCAAUGAAACUAAAAAAGGUUACAAAACUGAUUUUAGGUGUAAACCCUUAAUUCAGUUUGUAAACUUGAAUUGUCCUUUUGAUUUGUUAAAUUAUACUGGUUGAUUUGUGAUCCACUUUGCGAGCAUAACAUCUCUUUAGAUAUGCACAUUUACCAGUCGAAAGGUUUGCUUUAGCAUUGAUGUCUCUGCAUUUUCUCUGGACAUGACUGUUUAGCAUAGAGUGGAUUUUAGCAUCUUGAUUCAGUUUGCAAACAUAAACCGUCUGCUUCGAUAUGGAAAAAUACACUUGGAACUCAGACUAAUUUUAGGUUCCUUGAAAGUUUAAAUGCGGUCGGGGUUCGCUUUGAAUAGGCAGAGAAGAUGUUUUUGUUAUCAUCCACUACUCGCAUGGCUUUCUUUAGCAACAAUACCUUGUGUAGAUUGCUUUAGCAAUGUUUGUCUUUGGAUAUGGCUGUUUAGCACGAUCGUAAAGUUGGCAUCUUGAUGUCGAGUUACGAUAUCCUUAUUUAUUGUGCCAUUCGCUAUAUUCCUCAUUUGGUAAACAUUGUUUUAUCCUCACUUGUAUAUGAUUCUCGCUCUAUUGCUAAUAUGUAAACUACUAAUAUACGAAUAUACGUCAUUAGUCUAAGAAGCCAAGACACACAGUUAGCUCAAACCUUAGCUUUAGGUCGACCGUAGCGUAGGACUAAAUGUUAACAGAUUAUAGCUGGCUGCUGGUCUGAGUUUGUGAGAAAGCAGUUAGUGAAAGCGAAAUCUGUAAAGAUGUCUCUGCAGAUUGUUAAGGCUGUAGAAUUUAUAGAAUUUGAUUGGGAUUCCGGAUGAAAGCCUUUUCAUUAAUAAGUUUCUCUAGUUGGUGAGUGUUAUAAGAAUAGCAGUGUACAGCUUAGCUCUUAUCAUAGUUCCAAUAAUGCAGAAAAGAUAGUAGAUAAGUUACACCGCUCAGCCCAAAAAAAAUCUUUGAUUAUGUAUUGAUUGCACAUUAUUUUCAUCAAAUGCGUGCAACAUUCUCUAUGUUAAUCUGCAACUUCAUUUUUUCAGUUUGCACUUUGCACAGUCGCAUAUAAUAUGGAUAUUGUGUGCCUAAAAACAAAUGUGGCUAAUUUUUGUUUGAACUUAAUCUUCUUCGUAUUGAAUCAAAAAGGUGGAGGGGAUGGAGGUGAAUGCAAAUGAAGGAGGUUCCACAACAACACGUGGCGGCAUCUAUUGGCUGAUCUUACCUGCUGGCUGUAAUAUACAAUCUGUCUAUCUCCCUUAAACAAAUCAACCAUUUUCAAAUUUGGACCUUCCAUUGUUGAUGGCUAAAAGUGUUACAUAUAUAUUUGUUGUAAUGGUUAUAGAUCUUGGCUCAUCAUUUUGGGGAAUGGCUUUGAUUCUUGCAUCUACUAAUCUGCUUACAGCAAGAAUAGCUGCUGCUGGUCUCGGUCUUGCUUUAUUCAUCGUCCUCUUCAUUGCCAAAAACGUAAGUAGAAUUCAUUUUUAUCUCAUUGAGGCAUUGACAUCAAACCAAUGACAUCCAAAUUUUCAACCUUGACAGUGGACGCUUCGAGGUCUUUGUAUAGGUGUGCUAUCUCACGGUUCUUCUUGUUAAAUUUUUCAUUUUUUAGUUCUCAAAAUGAUAGUUGACAAAAAGAUUCUAACAAUCAGUGAAAAAGUCUCUCAGGUUUCAUAGUUUUCCUCGCUAUCAUAUGGGUUCUACAAGAGUUAACUACAGUAAAAAUUCUCCGUUAUGUCAUUCUGUUCAUCGGUAAAUGAACCUCAUUUUGUUCAGUCUUGUUAACAUGUUUGAGUUUCAUCUUCUCCGUAUGAAAGCCAGAUUCUUGAUAUUGCAGGUGUGAUGAAUAGCUUAUUCUCAGUUUACGGUAUGUGUUUCCUUUUCUCUCCCAAUAACUUCACUUAAAGUUAUGAACUUAUGAACAAGAAAGAAGCCUCAUUUGGUUUUGUUCUGCAAUGGCUAUUAGAUAUCUACGAUGAUCUGAUAUCGCGAAGAGUCCAUUCAAGUGAUGCUGAGAAGUUUGCAGAGAUCUGUCCUUGCUGUACUGGUUGUGGCUGGGGUGUCAUAUGGUGAGACUUUAAUCCAAUUUUACACACAAAAAACAACAAAUCUUUGUUUUUUCUUUGUUUCUGACCAAAAAUGGUUUUGAUUUUUCAGGGGAAUGAUAUCUUUUGCGUUUCUUUGCGCAUCAUUGUAUCUUGGGCUAGUGAUCCUAUCAUAAAAAGGUGUUCUUUUGGUUUUGGCUUUCUUGUUUUUUGUUAAGCACAUUUUUGCUUUUGAAUUUUGAUUAAGCGUUUUCAUGAUUUUUGUGAAUUUUUGGUGUCUCUCAGGUUUCAAAUUCUUUCCAGUGAACUGCGGAGUCUCCUUUCUUUCAUCUAUGCGCAGUUUUUUAACAGAAAACAUUUUUUUGAUUAAAAAGCUUGAUUCUUUAGAUCCCUUUGAUGUAUUUACAUUUGAUUGAAAGUUUAGGGUUUAUCAUUUUUUUUUUAUUCAUUUUGGAGUUUGUGUUGAAUAGAAUUCAUUGAUUGUUCUGUUUUAAUGCAUUGUAAGUCCGUUGAUCUUGUCAUCAAAACAAAACUCCGUCGACUUAUUCCUGUAAAUGGUCAUAGUAUCCUCGAUUAGACUUCGUCCUUUCUUCCAAAUUGAUACUUAAACACCAAAAUCUAUUAUAUAAAGACUCAGCUGAGUCUCACAAACUUGACACAUCAGCUUUCGAAAAAAAUAAUUUUCUCAAUUCCAAAAAAAUCUAAUUUAUCAGCCAUGACACAAGUACAAAUCUAGUUUCUAUCUAGAAAAGUCAUUCUCUUACAAUAAAAAGGAAAUGCAUUGAAUUUAUAGUGUUAUUACUUUGUAAACGACACCCGAGAAAAUUGAACGAGGCUAAAAUAAAUUCAUUUUUAUAAAAUGGAGCGGCAUUCCACCUAUUUUUCAUUUUUCUCUUACGCGCUUAAAAAGCUCCAGAAAUCAGGUAUAGCGCAACUGCAGUCACGUUCAUAACCAACAUUAGAAAAGAAUUAAGGUCUUGAAAUAACAUAUCCAAAAUGCAUAUUUCUUGUGUUAAUUUUGUUUUAGUGAUUGUGGUUUUUAGUGUUUCAGAUCAGAAAGGCGAUCAAAUACAUGGAUAUAAUCACUCUACUCUACGUGUCUACGAGGAGGAAAUGAUAACCAAUCCUUCUCUCAUAGAAAGAGAGCUAGGAUCAAGCUGUAUGUAGUGUAAUUACACACUAUAUAUAUAUAUAUAUAUAUUCAUUCCUAUUUUAUGUAUAUAUAUAAGAAAAACUUUAUGUGCCAUUAAAAAAAUUAUUUCUUGUUUCCAUAUUAAUUUAGAGUUUUAUAUGAUGUUUUUUGUUGUUCGCAAAACAUUGAAAAAACCAUAAAUAGUUUGUUUAUUGCAUGCAUGAAAAAUUAUGAUAUCUUUGUAUGCGUAAUGCUCUGGUGCCUAACAAUAUUAUUAGGUUUAGAGCAGAUGAUAUAACAAACGAAGUUGAAGUUUUAGAGGCAUUUUGUCUUCUGUUCAAUUUCUGUUUAUAGUUUUCGUACAUCUUAUAUAUAUACAUAAAACUGACAUAUAGUGAAUGCUUAACUCAAUCUAAAAUCAGUUAUAAAAUUUUCUUACGUAGCGCCUUAUUUCUCUGUCACAUAGACAAAAUUCUUUGUGUAUCAGGAGAAUGUAAUGCCCAAAUUUUAUCAUAUUUACUUUAUUGACGUCCGAACUUUAUAUUUUUAUAACAAAAAAUGAAUAUUUAGAAAGAAAUUAUUGUUUUUAAUAUUUAUUACCCUAAGCAGAACUCAAAGGAUUUGAGAUGAGAUUUAAAGCUAAGCUGAAACAAACAAACGCAAUAUUUUGUAUUUUAUUGUGUGUCUUUGAGUGUACGUAUUUUGUUAAUUUUAUUUCAUUAGUAAAAAAAACAGAAAAUAUAUAAUAAACAGACAGAUAUAUGUCUUAUUUUAAAGAGAUAACAAUAGAAAGUGAUUUGCGAUUACGUAAUUCUAUCAUGAUCUAGAAAAUUUAAAUUCGCACAUAUAUAUGUAUAUAUAUUAUUGAUCAACUUAACUAUUAUAUAUAUAUAAAUUACCGCGUGUACACGCGAAGUUUUAUCUAGUUAUUGUAAUAGUUGUGUACAAAAUAUCAUGGUGUAGAAAAUAAUUGUUGUAGUUAAAAAUUCAAUAAAAAAAAUAAUCAAAUUCUAUUAUAUGGAGGAAAAAUUUCAUAUUUUGUACUCUUAUUAAAUUUCAUAAUAUUUAAAAGUAAAUUUCCAUUUUUCUUCAAAAUUACAGCGAAUAAAUCCUAACUUUUUUUGUUUGAUAGAUAAGCAAUCUUUUUUGUCUGAUGGUAUAAAGAGGUAUAUCGUUUGGAAUCUUCCGAGGUUCAUCUUGCAUUAUCUUGGUUCAUCUUCCAAUAUAUCUAUUGGUUUGUAGAUUAGGUUGAAGAAAAUGAGAAAAAUUUGUAGUAAAACCUUUCUUUGAAUAUUUCUGUUAUAACGAAUGCGAAAAAAUGAAGUUAUAAACAUAAGGAACACAACACAGAUUUAACGUGGUUUACCAACGAUGUGUUGGUUACUUCCACGAACAAAAAAACCUAUUUAUUAAGGGAGGCAAAAGGUUCAGAAAACUCUGAUGAAGGUUCUGAAUCAUAAUCGGAAUACAUCAGAAUCGGAAUACAUCAGAAUUAGGUAUCACAUAGGUAUUAUAACUACCUAGUUAACCCUAAUCAUUUUUGGACCUGUCGUUCACGCCUAUGUAACGUCCUUAAGCUGAUAGCUUCGACCCAUUACUCAAACCGACAAUCUGCAGUAAGCUUCGUAGCUUACACCUCAUCUGAAAACAACUCCGCAGCUUACACAAUCUGUAACCAACAUCUUCUACAGUUUGCUAUGUAGCUUGCACCUUCCAGAGGUCACACUUUCCGCAAGUCGCACCUUAUGGAAGUCGCACCUUACGCAAGUCGCACCUUACGCAAGUCGCACCUUACGCAAGUCGUACCUUCUGCAGGUACCUUCUGCAAGUUGCACAAUCUACAUUAUGCUCUGUAGGUCCGCACCUUCUGCAACUUGCACCUCUCACAGUCUCAGAUUUAAGGCACAUUAACAAAUCUCCACCUUGUCUUGAAUCGUCCAAACAGAUGUACCAGAUGCACUUUUACAGUGCCAGAUGUACCGAAUUUUUCAUUUGCCUCACACGUUUGAUAACACCUAAUUUUGACAUAUUUUCACCAUUGAUUUCAAAUGCUUUUUCAAAGGUUUUAAUCAGUUUUAGGAAUUUUUAUUAUGAUUUCCAUGUAUUUAUAGUUUCAAGACUUUUUUCAGGAAACUUAGGGAAAAUGAUGGCAAAAUGGAAGAAAUCCACUUUUUAAAGCUCAGAGUCAGACCGUCAGAAGUUCAGCCUCAAAUGAAGACUUUUUCAACGUCUGAUCUAGUUCAAAUUUGGAGACAAUCAAGAGGAGACAACCAGAUUUCCAUAGCACUUUACAUCACAAAGAUUCAAUUGUGCAAUCAAAAGAUACAUGGAGAACAAGCUGACCCAGUUUACCAGUCCUGGAAGACUCUCACCCGCGGCAAAAUCAUGUUUUACCUGCCCUGGAAGACUCUCACCCCCGGUGUACCUUAGGACGAGCCACAAGGCCCAACAUCAAAGCCCACUUCGCCAUUCCUCUUUAGAGAAGCCCUAAAUGAGACCUGGAAAAACUUAGGACCUAUAAAUACAUUGUUUAGCGGCUCCAAACAGGUGUGUGCUCCUGUAAUGAGAUUUUGAGCCACCAAAAUCUGUUUCUCUAGGGUUAGGCGAUGGAGAUGGGGAUUCUUCCCCAGAUCCAUUGUUCUUUCUCCUUUCAAUUCUACUAACUUUUCUGUUUCACUCUUUUGCAUUUUUCUAUGUCUUUUAUUAUUCCUUGCAUCAUGUAGAUCUGUCCCAGAGAGUCAAGUUGUUUUAAGAGUCAUCGAUGAUCAUAUAUAUCGAUUAGGAUUUCUAUAGUUCUAAACCAUAUUCUGGAUCUCAUCUCUUCUAAGUUGUUCAUAUUGCAUGAGAGUAGAUUCAUGACCUAUUUUCUGAGCCUAGGAUCGAUCAGAGCCAUGAGAGUGUUGUAUCAGAUCAUCCAUACCUAGCUUCAGAAGAACAUAGUCGCUAUAGGAGUCGAAAGCUACCCAUAGAGAAGAUGUGAGCAGACGAAUUCAAUGUCUAAUGCAUGAUCUUAUUUCUGUCAUGAGAGCGAGAGUUAAUUGUCAUAUCUAAGUGAUUAGUUGAUUAAGAUGACGAGAAUUAGUUAAUCAUACAUAUGUCUAUUGUAGUUCCAUGCAGAUUCCUAGAAACAGAUGAAGAUAAAUCGCCCGGAAGCUAAUUGUAAAUGCCACCAUACAUCGAUUAUAGUAAAUCGGAGAAGUCUAAAUUGCACCCUAUGAGUUUAAGAGUAUUUAGUUUGAGUCGAUAUGCUUGAGAUAUGCUUGAGAUAUUCUUUUAACAAUUCAUCAUGCAUUGCAUUUUAUCUCUUGUGAAUAUUAGAUUAGGUUUAGUUUAGGACUUUUAACUAAAAACCCCAAAACGUUUAUUGGUUUAUGAUUUUGCUUACUUCCCAGUUUGUUGUUUCUUGCAGAUUAGACAUUCUCCCUAUGGAUCGACACCCUAAGUUCUACAAUCUGUGCACUUUCAGAUUUUAGGGUUUUAUAAAUUUAAAACUUUCUUUAUGGACCAAUGAGCUUGUAUGAAAAACAACCCUAGGCCCGUAGCUCAUCAAAGUUUUUGGCGGCGUUGCCAGGGAGGUUCUUAGUCGCUGGAGGUCUAAACCUAGGAGGUUGAAGCCACAAAAGACAAUAUAUAUGUCGAGUUUCUGCCAAAAAAUCAUAGGAAGUAAACCAAACUCAUAAACACCCUAACUUUUUUUUUUUCUGCUUAUUCUCUCUUCUGUUUGCCCUAGUUUCAGAAAUCUUUGAAGCAUGGAUCAUCCAAGAAGAAAUCCUAACCCUGAUCGAAGGUUUUGCAACUUGUGUGAAGCUCCCUACGCAUGUGAAUCACCUUCCAGGCGUGAUUCCAAUCAUCCAGUUCGGCCAGAUCAUCCGAACCACCACCAUGGAAACUCGCGACCUCUACACCAUCGAGAUGAGCCCUUCACCUGGUGAAUCGUCGACCAUCUCAUCCUCUUUCUCAUCAGAUUAUGCACCAGAACUAUGAGGAUAAUCUGUUUAAAAUCCUGCUAAAUCGAUUGGAAGCCAAGCUGAAUCAGUUCCUUGCCUCCCAAGCCAUCAUCGAUGCUGCCCUGCGAACAAGGAUAGAUGACAUGACCGUCGACCUUAACAAAAGGUUUGAUGACCUCUCUGAGCAUGUGAAGAUACUGGAGAUCAGAUAAUCAAAGAUAAUGACGUGUCGAACCAGAGAAUGGAGUCUGUCGAAGAAGAGCAGGACAAAAACAAGUUCAACAUUCGACAAAAUGAAAGGGAGCUGCAAACCCUAACUUUCAAGAUCGAUGACUUGGAUAAGGAACUGAAUGAGAGCAAAAACCAGACCUACGACUACACAUUGGAGCUGUGGCAGGGCGUAGCUAAGGUUGAAAACAAGACAGAAGAGCUUGAUGCUACUCUAGACAAAGUUGUCUAUGCUGUAGAUGAAGUAGAAGAGAAAGUUGAAAAACUUUCUAAAGAUCAUAAGGAGUAUGAUCUGAACUCUAGAAUCAAUGAUUUGGAUACCCAAGACGUGCCUAACAACCACUGGAAGCAAGAGAACAAUAAUGGAGAAGAAGAGAUUUAAGAAGAAAGCAUAGAGAGCCGGAGGAAGCUGACCGCGGCUGCGAGUACUUCACCCGCGGCCAGAGCCACUUCCACCGCGACUCCAAGCUCCUCACCCGCGGUAGAGCAUGAUUUCUCAGAUUAGGAGAACUUCCAACCUCUUUCUGAAACCUGUUCAACUGCAGACCAACCCCUUGUGACCAGAUCUAGGUUGUUUGAUCAAGUUGUCUUCUCAAUCACUGCACAAGCAUCAAAAGAAAAGGAAGAAUCCAACACUUAUGAAUCUUGCAACAUAGUUUACACUUGUGACAAUGAGCUUCAAGAGCAAUUCUCAGAAGAUGAAGAGUAUGGUUUGUUUGUUGAAGAUCCAAACUAUGGGGACAAUUCAUCUAAUGACAACUCAGAACCAAUUACCAAGAGCAUAUCCAGAGAGAGACUGAUUGAAUUCAACAAUUUUGUGAAGUCCAUUCCUCUCUACCAUGGUUUCGACGACAUCUGGAAGCAAGGCUGCCUUCAAGUUUUUUUUUCAGAUAUAGCAAGAAGACUAAGGAGAACGUCUACACUUAUUUCAGAAGAGCCAGGUAUCUAUCUUUUCCUAGAUCAUCACCUGAUGCAGCUGUUUACAUGAUCCAUCUCAAAGAUCCCCACGAAGCCAUUGACUACACAAACAAGAUCAACAAAGAAGCACUUGAAGAGUCAAUCAAGUAGUUCAAAGCCUCCUAGAAGGAAUUUCAUUUGCCAAAGCAUGUAGAGACUACAUGAUCGGCCACUUCUUCUAUGACAGCAAAGAUUCUAUUCAAGAGAUGAAAGACUUGUUCACACACGCCCAAGAAGGUAGACCAUUUCGAAAUCUGCACAAAGUUCAAGACAAAGGUCAAUUUCUUAUAUCUUGUGAUAUUAGAGGUGAAAGAUUUCUCAAUAUUCUUUGUGAUUCUGGAGCUUGCAUUAACAUGAUGUCCAAAGCAACUGCUUUGAGACUUGGCAUUAAGCACAUUUCAAAUACCAUGACAAAGAUUAGCUUAGCAGAUGGUUCAAGUGCAACACCAAGAGGGAUAUCCCGAGAUAUUCCUCUAAGGAUUGGAGAUUGCAUUGCACCUGUCGAUCUAUACAUAGUGAAGACCAAAGAUGACUCUUAUCCACUUAUCCUUGGAUGGUCUUUCUUAGCAACUGCUGGAGCCAUCAUGGAUUGGCCCAACAGGAGAUUUUAUUUUGCAAAUAUCGACAAGGAUAUCUUCUAUCAAGCUACACCACUUAAGAGCAAAGGAGAAAAGCAGAAAGCCUAGGCCUUUGAACCAGAAGAAAUCUGGAGUGAUGAAGAACCUGCAAGACAGAAGAGAAGGAUUUCGAAAAGGACUUGUCUUAGGACAAGAUCCUAUUUGAGCUAAGUCUUUUUCUUUUGCAAGUGUAGCUAAGGACUAUAAACCAAAGCGCUUGAUGGGAGGCAACCCAUUUAGCUACUUAUUUGCUUCUGUUUAUCUUUCUUUUUCUAUUAAAGUUUUGGUUUUUUUAUUUUAGACAGGCCUUAGUAUGCCACAAAAAAAGGAAGAAAAAGAAGAAAGAGAGCUGACCGCAGCCAAAGGAGGUUCAACCGCAGCCAGCAAGCAUUUUGCCGUGGCCACGAAGCUUUGAACCGCGGCCAGCACCACUCGGCCACCCUUGGCCAUUUCCACCUCUACCUUGAUUCAAAUCCAUCCAAGUUGGAUCAAGCACCACUUCACAUCAUCCACCAUCCACCAUUCAAUAUCCUACCACCUCCACAACCACCUCAUAAUCCAUCACCACACCAGGUAAGUUUUCUUUUCCUUAAUCUUUUUAAAUUUUUUCACAUACUCUAUUUCUCAUCCUUGCCUGAUUUAUUUCAUACUGGGGACAGUGUGAUUUAAGUAUGGGGGAGGAUUUCAUCCCUUUCUAACCACUUUUUCUUGCAUGAGCCUUUGCAUUCUGCAUUUUUCUUUAAAAUUUUUCAAUUUUUUUUUCGAUUUUUCACAAAACUUUUCAAAAUUCUUUUGAGUUUCAAAAAGUGUUUUCAAAGGUCAAAUACAUUUUAAGGGAAUAAUGACAAAAUCGAUGAUGAUAACCAACCUGUUUGCUUCUACACCAAUGAUUCAUAAAAAGCUCUUUCAAGGUUUAGUAUUAGACUUGGCGGUAGCUGGAGUACUUACACUACGAAAUCCUACCAGAAGACUUCUAUUCAUGAAGAUAUUUUCUAACAGGAUAUUCUAGCUCAUCUUACUUGGACUUAAUCUUGACAUCUAAUUUUCUCAUCAAUGGUUUUAAGAAGGCAUCAUGAUAUACAUCUAGGACAUCUUUAUCUUAUUGUUACCACUCUUUGUUGUCCUAGAUGGCCAGUUCAUCUUUAGCUGGUACCUCACCUUUAACCCAAACCUUUAUGUUCUAACCUCAUGCAUUCUCUCUUAAGUAUAUAUUGACAGAUAUGUGCAAAAACGCCGUAGAGGGAGGAACAACAUAGUUUUCAGUCAUUCAUGAGAAAAACUGAAAAAGACCAGAAGGGAGUGUGCCAGAAAUCUUAUGAUUCCUCAGAAAAGCUCAUUCUUAUAAGUAAAUUUCAUGCUUUUUAAGAUUAAGUCAAAAGGCAGUUUCCCCUUUCCCAAAAAAAAAACAAAAAAAAAAAGAAGGAAAGGAAAGAAAACCAAAAGCCUAAAGAGUCUUAGAAGCCGAAAUCAUUUGAGCCAAGGCAAUAGGUAUCCACCUAAGGAGUUAUGGAUUCACAACCUAGACAAAAAAUCCAAGUCUGGGGGAACUAUAAGGAGAACCUGAAGAAAGGAGAUCAGAAAUCUUAAAGCAAAGAGAAUGUGACUGAAACAGUGGGGGCAUUUACAGUUCCAUCCUCUCUUGCUGUUUUGCAUAAUGUCUUGUCUCUCCAGAAAAAGGUAACCCUAAACACAUCAAACCUUACCAUUAAAAAGCCUUUUUGAUACCUAACCUUGAAUGCCUUGUUUGAUAUCCUUUUGAUGAGAAUCACUGAAACCUUUAAUAAAUGUUAAGAGCUAGGUGACUGGAAGUUAGUUCUAAGUGUGUGGAUUUUUGCAUGACGGAUUAACAGACUAGUUAUGUUUGUAUUUUGGUGAGAAUUUUCUAGACUUGAUCUGAUUGACGCAUUGUCCAUAAUUAAGGUCUAGAAGUAUGGUUGCUGAUAUUUUUGAGUUCCCUCUCACUUUUGUUGAAUGAUAUUUUUCCAGAUUUGAUCUUGUUUUGUUUGAGGACAAACAAAGUCUUAAGUCAAGGGGGGGGGGGGUUGAUACCACACCUGAUUUUGACCCAUUUUCACCAUUGAUUUCAAUGCUUUUUCAAAGAUUUUAAUCAUUUUUAGUAAUUUUUAUUAUGAUUUCCAUGUAUCUGUAGUUUAAAGGUUCUUUUCAGGAAACUUACGGAAAAUGAUGGAAAAAUGGAAGAAAUCUACUUUUUUAAGCUCAGAGUCAGACCGUCAGAAGUUCAGCCUCAAAUGAAGACUUUUUCAACGUCUGAUCUAGUUCAAAUUUGGAGACAAUCAAGAGGAGACAACCAGAUUUCCAUAGCACUUUACAUCACAAAGAUUCAAUUGUGCAAUCAAAAGAUACAUGGAGAACAAGCUGACCCAGUUUACCGGUCCUGGAAGACUCUCACCCGCGGCAAAAUCAUGUUUUACCUGCCCUGGAAGACUCUCACCCCCGGUGUACCUUAGGACGAGCCACAAGGCCCAACAUCAAAGCCCACUUCGCCAUUCCUCUUCAGAGAAGCCCUAAAUGAGAUCUGGAAGACCUUAGGACCUAUAAAUACAUUGUUUAGCAGCCCCAAACAAGUGUGUGCUCCUGUAAUGAGAUUUUGAGCCACCAAGCUAUGUGUUAGGCGAUGGAGAUGGGGAUUCUUCCCCAGAUCCAUUGUUCUUUCUCCUUUCUAUUCUACUAACUUUUCUGUUUCAUUCUUUUGCUUUUUUCUAUGUCUUUUAUUAUUCCUUGCAUCAUGUAGAUCUGUCCCAGAUAGUCAAGUUGUUUUAAGAGUCAUCGAUGAGCAUAUAUAUCGAUUAGGAUUUCUAUAGUUCUAAACCAUAUUCUGUAUCUCAUCUCUUCUAAGUUGUUCAUAUUUCAUGAGAGUAGAUUCAUGACCUAUUUUCUGAGCUUAGGAUCGAUCAGAGCCACGAGAGUGUUGUAUCAGAUCAUCCAUACCUAGCUUCAGAAGAACAUAGUCGCUAUAGGAGUCGAAAGCUACCUAUAUAGAAGAUGAGAGCAGACGAAUUCAAUGUCUAAUGCAUGAUCUUAUUUCUGUCAUGAGAGCGAGAGUUAAUUGUCAGAUCUAAGUGAUUAGUUGAUUAAGAUGGCGAGAAUUGGUUAAUCAUACAUAUGUCUAUUCUAGUUUCAUGCAGAUUCCCAGAAAAAGAUGAAGAUAAAUCGCCCGGAAGCUAAUUGGAAAUGCCACCAUACAUCGAUUAGAGUAAACCGGAGAAGUCUAAAUCGCACCCUAUGAGUUUAAGAGUCUUUAGUUUGAGUCGAUAUGCUUGAGAUAUUCUUUUAACAAUUCAUCCUGCAUUGCAUUUUAUCUCUUGUGAAUAUUAAAUUAGGUUUAGUUUAGGACUUUUAACCAAAAACCCCAACACGUUUAUUGGUUUAUGACUUUGCUUACGUUCCAGUUUGUUGUUUCUUGCAGAUUAGACAUCCUCUCUGUGGAUCGACACCCUAAGUUCUACAAUGUACAUCUGUGCACUUUCAGAUUUUAGGGUUUUAUACAUUUAAAUCUUCCUUUAUGGACCAAUGGGCUUGGAUGAAAAACAACCCUAGGCCUGUAGCUCAUCAACGUUCCAAAAUGCACUUUACCGUGCCGGAUGUACCAGACGUCCCUUGUAUCAGAUGUACCUGAUGCACGCUUGCCAGAUGUACCAGAAUUCCCUUCUAUCAGAUGUACUAAACGCACCAAUAUUAUGCCAGAUGUACCAGAUGCACUCUUACUGUGCUAGAUCUACUUGGUGUUAAGUAGAACAGGUGUCUCUACAGACCAGACGUCCCUUUGGACCAGAUGUUCCGUCGGACCAGACUCCACUGCGGACUAGAUGUUAUUUCAGACCAUACGCCUCUUCGGAUCGGACAUUGUUUCGGAAUAGACGUCCUUUCAGACCAGACGCCUUUUACCAGGCUCAUAUACUCCUCCAGAGCCAGAUGCCUUUCACUGGGCUCAGAUGCUCCUUCGAGCCAAACAACCCUCACCGGGUUCAGACGUUCCUUCAAGCCAAACGUCCCUUCGGACCUGUAGUGUAUGAUCCACCAUAUCUUCGAAGCCAUAUAUCUCUGUGGAUCCAACCUCAUUCCUUGUAAGCUGAUCAUGACAUGUACUACGGUGAAUAUUCUCAGAUGGUGUCAGUUCUGACAGAUCAAUUUCUGUCUGUAGCUCUUGAAUCUCUUCGUGUAGCUCAGAAUCAGUCUCGUCACGAUAUAUAUACAAAUCCACCUGCAUCUGUAACUCCACCUGCUUGUCAAAGCUACUGUUCUCUGUAGCAGCUGUGGUUAAAGGUUCAUCUUGGAACCUUCUUUCUGAAUCAACAUUAGAGAACAUGCACUUCGUUCUCCGCAGCAGCAUCUGAUUCAUCUGCUCAGAUACACCAUUCGGUUGUGAUGUAUCCGUAACUGCAUGAUGUUGGACAACUCCUUCAUCCUUGCAUAGCUGAUUGAGCUCUAAUGAACAGAAUUUCUCACCUUCCUCUGACAGAAUUUGCACCUUCUUUUCACCUAUACGACCAAAGCUCUUAUGCCACAGCUUUGUUAUAUCUUUGUGGUGAAUUUCUGAAGAUGCAACAUUCACAGAACCUGUAGCUGUGGAACCUCCACCCAUACCCUUGUGCCCUCCUCUGCUGCAGGUGAAAUCACCUUCAUCAUCCUCAUUUUCAUUCAAUGGAGCCGCAAAUCUCUAUGACAGAUAACAUCUUCAACUUUCUUUUUCAAUUUUAUCGAAAAAUGUGAGAUUAGACGCAUAUAGAAUGGGAACCAUCUCUAUAAAAACAAUAGAUUUUUUUUAUGAAGAGAUAUCUGAUGUCCAAUAUAAUUUGUUGUUAUAAUUUGUAUCUAGUUUUUUUGUUAUCAAAAUGAAUGUUCAGAUGAGAAUAUUGUAAAUUAAUUCUUAUCAUGAUAUUUUGAAUAGCAUAUGAUUUUGAUUAAUAUUAAUUAAAAUCAUUAAAUUGAAACUAUAUAAUAUUGAUAAGAACUUUAAAAUUAAUUAUCUAAUGAUACAUAAUUUUAGUUAAAUUUUAAAAUCACUUAAAAUGCAUAAACUAACAGUACCCAACUCAAUAUAUCUUGGUGAAAAGGUUCUUAUGUAAAAGUCUAAUUAUAUAAAAAUUAUAGUAAGGAAAAAGAAUGUGCGUUCUUUCAAAAAAAAAAAAAAAAAAAAAAAAGAAGAAUGUGCAGUGAGCAAUCAUAUAUUCCCUUUAAAUAGUCUCAGUACUGUCAUUUUGAGUUUACCCUCUGUCUCCCCUAUUUUUUAUAUUUACAGUUUUUUAAUAUUAGGUUUUUACUAAAAUAAAAAUUUCACAUCGUGAUUUAUCAGAUGGAUCCUAUCCAUUUCUCAAUUUAAUAAAUAAUAUUUCUUAAAACUUUUCUUGUCUUACUAUAUUCUCAGCAUUUUGUAACACUAAAUAUUUAAAAUGCAAUAUUUAUAUCUUUUUGGACUUUACAUUGAUAUAUAUAAACUUUCGAAUAUUAUUAUGUUAGAUACACAAUUUCUAACCAGAGAGGAAUUUACAUAGUAAAUAAAAUGAUAUUUAUCAUAUUUUUGUAAUUCUAUUAGAAUUAUCUACAUUUUUAUAUGUGUAAAGCUCAUAUAAUUGGUUUUGCAUUCUUAAUGAAAGUUUGUUAAUAGAACUAAUAUAAUUAUAUCAUGGAAGAAAAACUAAUAGAAUUUAUUUUUAAAAAAUGAUAUCAAUCUAUCAAUUUUAUUGGGCACUAAAACAUUUAGGGUCCUGCCAUUGACCAAUACUGUCUACCUCCCAUAUAUCUACCAUUAAGCCAAUACAAUUAUUUAAACACUUUUGUAGAGAAUUUUUUUCUACAUUUGAUAUUUAUAGAAAGACCUAAAAAGAAAUAAAAUCUAUACUUUAUCAAUAAUAUAAUUCUGAAAGGUCGUUUUGAGAUAUAUGUGAUAUAAUAUUAUAAUAUUUAAUUUAUAUAUGAUAUCUAAACUUUACCAAAUACUAAAGUUUUAUAUUUUGAUUAGUCUACAUUGAGAUUACAUAUUGUUUCAUUAAAAUAUUUUAUUUUUAUUUUAUGCUAAAUUUAUAAUCAAUAUUAGAGCAUUUAUUACUUGGUCAUAGGUUUUACUAGAGUUGAAUUUCAUAAAAUAUUAAAUUUGGUCAAAUUAAAAACAUUUGACUCAUUUAGAAUAUGUAAAGAGUAGCGAGCCAAAAGAAGUUGAACUUCUCAAAUAUAAAUUAAAUUUUCAAGCGCAAAGCUCAUGGUACAAUCAAGAAUCUGAAUAACUUUUGAAUGGCCACAUUAUUGUAUAUGAAUUACAUACAUGUAUAUGUAUGAUAGAAUAUAUAUAUAUAUAUAUGUUUUCUUGGUAGUGAAUGAGAGGAGGAAAAAAAAUAAGAGGAGAAACAAUGAGAAAAAGAAAAGUUCAUAAAAACAAAAAUCACAAAAUCAUAAAGUUUUUUCAUUCUUAUUGUUCUGCUCUUAUAUUUUUUUCCUGUCUCUCAUUCACCACCAAAAAAACACAUAUAUAUAUAUAUAUAUUUAUGUAUUUUUGUGUAGCAUUUGACCAUGCCAAUCCGAAAUGCUAAACAAAAAUAUAAUUUAUUUUUCCAGAUUACAGGCCAAGAGAUAGUAUGGAGAUAUAUAGAAGGCGAUGGUAUGAGGGUUACAAAAAUAUUCAGACUAUUAACUCAGAUUAAAAAUUCUGUGAGAAGAAAAUUCAGAUAUGAUUCCAGAAUUAUUUGUUGAGAAUCAAUCCAAAGUUCCACAUCGGAAGUUUAGACUAAUAUGGUCUAAUAUAUAAGUAAUGUCCAACUCUAAUUAGUAUGAGGUCUUUUGGGAAGGAGCCCAAAAUCAAAUCCGUGUGGGCUUUGUCAGUUGGGCCCAAAGCAAACAAUAUCAUACUAAUUGAAAAAGUUGGACAUGCGUUUUUCAAGCCCAAUAUUAUUCAGGUGAAAAUUUUCAUCACUAUUUUCAGAAUGAUAGGCUAAAGUGUAAGAGACAUUUUAUUAUUAUUGUAUCUCAAAAAACGUGGAAAUGUUACAUAAGCCUUUAACAGUCUUUUUAAAAAAAAAGCUAUAUUCAAGAUAUUUAGUUUUUUUUUUAAAUAAUAUAUAUAUAUAUAUAUAUAUAUAUACACAUAUAUAUGAUAUUUAAACUCUAUAAAUAAGAGUUUGAUAUUUCUAGUCCAGAUAAAGUAACGUUAUAAUGCUGCCCAAAAAAUAAUACUACAAAUAAUUAUUUUCUAUUAAAUUUACAUUAUAGCAUUUUUUUUUAUAACAUCUAUUUUAUUAGAUAGUAAAAAAGUAAUACAUCAUGUUUACAAGCCAUUUUGGCAAAGAUUGAAAAACAUAAUACAUAGCAUGAAAACAACAAUACAUAAAAUUAAAAACACAAAGCACUAAAUCAAAGAAGAUGAGUUUAAACGAUUUUUUUCUUCGAAUUUUUCUCGCUGAAAAAGUGUCCACACCUUCUUUCCUCGUAAUCGCAUUUGAUCUAAAGCGAUUUUUUUUUUUGCUAUGAUCCAUCUUUUCUCCUGUUGUAUGUUAUUGACACAUUUCCAAGUAAGAACUAAAAAUAUUCUAUGAAUAAGAAUCCAAUCUUUUGAUUCUUUCCAUAGAAAAAAUACUUGAAAUUGCCAAUUUUCUACGACUGUACGUAUGUCGCCAUACCACAAGGAGUUUUCAUCUUCCGCUCCAAACCCUUGUCCCCUCCAUGGUGGUUUCCAUGUUUGUUGUUCCCAUAGUAAUGCCAUAUCCGGCUGAAUAGAAUCAUCGAAGAAGAUCAAACAUAAAACCCAAAUUCGCCAAUCAUCGUUUCCAUGACUCCUAACUUCUCCUAUUCCCGGAUCAAAAACCCAAAUUACAUCUCCAAACCAUACAGUGGAGGAUAAUAAAAACUGCUGUGAGUGUUGAUUUAAUCUUGGAUCAAUUUGAGUAAAUUGGUUCAAGAAAGAAUUAAAAUCCCAACCAAAGACUUGACGAAUUAUAGCAUUUAUUAUUUGGUCAUAGGUGUUACUAUAGAUGAAUUUAAUGGAAAUGUUAUUUUUGGUCAAAUCAAAAUUAUUUAAUAUUUAUAAUAUGUAAAAAUUUGAUCCAAAAGAAGUUAAAACAUAAAUAGAAUCUCAAACCACAUGAUACAAACAAGAAUCUGAAAAAAAGUUUGGAAUCUCCAAUAUGAUAUACAUUUGCAUUAUUAAAAAAAAAUGGCACUCAUUGUUCUUCUCUCAAUGCUUUUUUUUGUUUCCUUCUCUCAUUCACCACCACGAAAACACACACACAUAUAUAUAUAUAUAUAUAUAUAAAUAUAUAUAUAUGUCAUGCAUUAUCAUUUAUCAUCUCAUCGAUCUAACUCAUGCACUCAGGAUCAUCAUCAAAAUGAUCUUCUCCCUCCAUAGCCUCUCUUGGAUUUCCGGCUUCCAUAUUCUGUUUUCCGCAGGGCUCCAUCACAUUAUGUUUCUGACUUGUCGACACUAGAUUCAUAGAAAGUGAUUGAUCAUGGUUGGUGUCAGGGGUUGAGUCCAUCAGGGUAUUAAAGGCAGAGUCAUGUCCAAUACACCUCGUCGAAAAAAGAAUAUCUUCCUUAGAAGAGCCAAAAUUUCGAACCAACAGUCAAUAUCCAUCUCAUUGACGUCAAUGUCAAAAUAAAUCAGCUCUUCGAUCGGAACAUCAUUAUCUUCCACAUAAGGAACCAAAGCCAUAUCUUCCAUAUUAGUUUCAAGGGAUUGGGUUUUAUUGGUUUCAAAAGAAGCAUGUCUUCAAGAAGAAGAAAACUUUCUUCAGAAAACAACCAAUCUAUCUGGUCUGUAUUGGUUUCGAAAAUGGUGGUCGUAUUGGUUUGAGAAGAGGUUUCAUAACUUGUUUGACCAGAAGCAAAACCGACAUGGGAAAUGACAUUUUGAGAAAGAACAUGAUUUUCUCCAGAAGAAACCAUACCCAUCUGGUUACUGAUUUCAGAGGGAAUCAUAUUUUCAGAAGCAACAUAGCCUUCUACUGAAGAAAUAUUGGUUUCAGGAACAUUUAUGUUCAUAUCAGUUUGAGGAAGAACAUAAUUUUCUAGGGUAGGAAUCCAAUCCAUCUGGUUCAUAUUGGUUUCAGAUGACUAAUGUUUUCUGUUGAUGGAACACAACCUAUUUGGUUUAUAUUGGUUUCAUGAUCGCGAAUAUUAUCGGUUGAUGGACUCCAACUUAUCUGGUCCAUAUUGGUUUCUAAAGUGUUCAUGGUAAAGUCUAGAUCUGGAAGAAAAUAACUUUCUCCCAUAAUGCACAGAUCAGCUUGAGGAACAUAAGGCUCUGGUAUAUAAAUAAAGUCUAGAUCUAGUUGGUUCCAAUCGAUUUCAAGAACAGAUGAGCUAGGUUGAAAUGGGUUAGGUUCAGACUGAGGAAUACAAAUCCCGGAAGACUCCAUCUGGAAUGCAUCUGUGUUAGAUGCACCAACACUUGAUGACAAACCAUAAAGAACAGGAGGGUUAUCACUACUUAAGCCACUAUGGUUAGAUGCACCAACACUUGAUGACAAACCAGAAAGGACAGGAGGAUUAUCACUUAAGCCACUAUGGUUAGAUUCUCCAACACUUGAUAGCAAACCAGAAAGGACAGGAGGAUUAUCACUACUUAAGAUAAUAUGGUUAACAUCAUGGAUAGAAAAAAUAUGGGAAGGUGGGUUGUUACUUGUGGCUGAAGGAGCGUAAUUGACUUCCAUAGGUGACUUGUUUAAUAGGUUACCAAAAAGUGAGUGUUUACUCAGAUCCAAUUUUCCACCUAGAUGAAACUUGGGCACCAUCUUCGCUUUGCCCUUUUCAGCAGAUUUUUUGAAUGAAUCUGCAUACAAGAAAAACAAAAAACAUUAUUGACACAAAGAUGUUGAAUUGUGAAAAGUAUAUAUAUAGUAAAAGAACAUGACUUGCAUUGGUCGAUGGAUCAGGAGGAUGCUUCCUUCUUUUUCAGAGAAUACCACUUUGUGUUACUUUCAACGAUAUUCUUUGCUAAGUUGGAUGCAUUGAAAGGAUAUUCAUAGUCUGAAGGGUAGUUGAAUGUCUUAUCUGUUGACCUCCAUUCAUUCCUCGACAACGAAUGGUUCAUUAGCUUAACUUGUGCUUUGUAUUUCUGAAACAAUUAAUUAUAGAAUAAAACAGGUUAUCAUAAGGCUAGUAAAAUUAUAUAUUGAAAAAGAGUGUAUAUAAAUGUAUAUAUGAACCUGAAGGUGGCUACCGACUUGGCAAAGAUUCAAGUCUGAGUCAUUCAUAAUGCUCAAUAUGGAUUUAGGACAAGAAUCUGUAGGAUAAAGAACUGUAAUCAAUUGGUAGAAAGAAGAAUUGGUCAAAACAAAAAAAAUCUUACCUUUUGCACCCAAUAUGGAUAUAGCUGUUAAAAAUAUCAUUUGGCGCUCCUGGAGUCAAUACAUUGCAUCGUCUUCCAAUAUUACUCUCCAUAUUUAUUCCUUCCUCUCUCUUGUUCUCAGCCUCAGUGGGAUAAACCGGUUUAGUUUUUCCUUCAUCAAUUGCUUUGCCUUUUCUCUUUUGGUAUGUUUCAGGGGUUGUAAAUGUUUUGACGAAGGGUCGUCUUCCUAACAAAGAUGACUGACUUGUUCUCUGCCUCUUUAUGGUUUCUCUAAGAGAUUCAAUCUGAUUUAGUAUAUUUUUCUCCACAACUUUCUCUUGUUGUUCAGCGAUGUUGAUUUUCUUUAACUCUUGGCUCUUCUUAGGUACCACAUGCUGCCAUAGGUUUUCGAUGUCGUUUUCAGAAAUCGGCUUCGUUAGACAAAAACGUGCACUUUUUGUCAAAAGAUCUGAUGUUUCCUUGGUAUUUAUUUCUGGACUUAUCACUUUAACAUCAAAAAAAUAGAUAAAUUAAUCUGUGGAAGAAAGUAACAAACAGUGUAAAGAGUAAGCGCAAGAAGAAUGUGUAAAUGUUUGCUUACGUAUAAGAGGAAUUUUUUUGUGAAGCAAAGCAGUGAGAAAGGAAUGUGAAUCUAUAUGAGGCAUUUCAAUGUUGGCUAUCACAAGUCCAGUAUCCUUUUGCUUUUCGAUCAUCGAUAAAGCCUCACUUGCCUUGUUCAAGCUCAUCACUAGUACAUCAAUUUAUAUAUUAAAUAUUUACAAAAUCCAAAAAAAAACAUUGUUCAAAACAAUAAUCAAGUUUCUUCCAUUUUAGUUUUAGUUAUAUAAAAAAGUUGAAAAAACAAUAGAUUAACACGCACAUUUUCGAUUAUAUAUGAUGAUUAGCUAACCUAAUACAUAAUAUAUUAUUUAUAUACAUAUUAAUAUUUGAAAGAAAUUUUUUGGGCUAGAACCAGACAUCUAACAAUCUGAUUAUCCGAUUAAAAUAUAGAAUAUAUGUAUUAAAACUCAACAAUUAUACAUCUAGGGUAUUCAAUAAAAAAUUAAUAAAAAAUUAGAGUUCAAAUAUUUUAUUAAAUUCUUUCUUAUCGAUUUUUAUUUAUUUACAAAAAAAUAUUUUAAAAGAGAAAUUUAUAUGCGUAUUAUCAAUUAUAUUUGAUGAUCGACUAAUCUAAUACAUAAUACAUUAUAUAUAUAUAUAUAAAUAUUUGAAAACUUUUUCCAGCUAAUACCAAACAUUCGAAAUCAUGUUAAGAAAUCAUUUCUAAAUAACAUCAGUUAUCAAAAUCUCAUAUAUAUUCCACAAAAUAUAGAUUAUACUAAAAUUUAAUGGUUUUUACAAAAUAGUAUCCAAUAUCUAUGACAUAUUAUUAUCCAAACUAAUAAUCGUAGGUGAUUAGGAUUUUCAACAAAAGGGUUGUAAGAAAAUCAUCUUCAAAACUGAGAUCCAAGACCAAUCAGUAGCCUAUAGCUUUAAUAUUCUGUAAAUUAAAUUAUAAAUUAUAAUUUUCUAUGCGAAUUCACAUUUCUUCAAAUUUGUUCAGAGAUCCUGAUUUAUACAAUGUAGAAAUCUCAAGAUCUAGAGACGUUGAAUUAUAAUCAUCAGGAAAAUAUUCAGCAAAUGCUAAAAUUUACCAUACCAAAUGUAACAAAUUAGAAUAAUACCGUUGAUAUGUAAAUGGAAAAAUGAUCAACAUCAAUAUAAAUGGUAAACAAUUUUUUUUUACCUUUAUACGAAAAUUGCUUAAGCAUUGAAGUGAGAAAUUCAAUUGAUGUAGUGUCAUUAUCGAUUAGCAGAACUGAAAUAUCACCAAUGCGUUCAGGAACUAUGUUUCCAGCCAAAUUUACGGUCAACUUUUCAGUCAUAUUUUCAAAAAUAUAUGAUAUGAAGGUUUGAAAUAAUAACCGAGUUAAGGGGAAAUAAGCUAUUGCAUGGACGUAUAUAAAAGAAAGAAUAGAAAUUGUAGACCCAACAAGGUCAUAAAUUGCAAACAACACCAGAUGAAGAAAACUAUUUUAAUUUCUAUCAAAUAUAUUUCAUUUCAUCAUUGACCCUACCUAUAAUAUAUUUUUUUAACUCUAAAAAUAUACCCAGUCUAAAGUAUAAUCUAUUAGUUUAUAUAAUUCAAAAUCUUAUCAAACACAUGGUAAAUGAUAUUAUAGCAUUGGUAGUGAUAAAUAUAAUUAUUUUGGGAAUAUUAUAGUGUUUCUUGACCGAUAUAAUUUGAGAAUUUACACGAUAGUCAUCGACUUAAAAAUCCAUAUAUAGUUAGUUGUUAUUUCAUUUAUAAAUUUUGACUAGAAAUAUACAAUUAGUUCAUUUUUUAUACAAUGUUUUAGAAAAUGAUUAAUUAAUUAACAAAAAGUAAACAUAGAAAAUUUUUGUAUAUGCAUAAAAGAUUUUUCAUAGAAAAAUUUGGUGGAAUUAUGUUUUCUCUUUUUUCUUAUAAUUAGAUAAUAUUUUUAUUUCAGUCAGGAAAAAAUGUAGCUACAGAUGUGUUUUAGAUUUAUGGAAGCGUAAAAUAUUCUUAAUAUGUAAAGUAAUAUAAGUUCUCUAUAUAUUACACAAAAUAUAAUUCAAAUUUUGUUAAUAGUUUUGAUAUCAAAAGUUAUUCAUGCAUGCGUUUUACAAUUCGAUCCUUACCUUAUUUCGAGUACAAUAGGCAUGUGACUGGUCAAGUUUUUAAACUCUUAAGUAACUUCCAUAAUUACGUAGAAACUCAAAAAAAUUCAAGAAUAGAAUAAGGUUCAUCUUUUUAUAAAUGUUUAAUUUGAAACGUAUGCUAACACUUUAAAAUAAAGUAUUGAUAAUUAUAUGUUGUGAUGUUGUGUAAUGUAUAACUAAUGCUCGUUUAGUAGUGAACUCGUGAUCAAUGAUGGACUCCAGCUACAAGUUUGUUUUCCUUCCGAUCUGUUCACUACACUACAAGAAAGAAGACCUUUUAUAUUGGAAGAUAUCGACGUAAAAUCGACGUAAUGGGCCAUUUACGUCAAAUUAGUGACGAAUGAAAAAUUAUCGUAAAACAAUCAUCGUAAAAGAGAAAUCGUCGUAAAAUCUUCGUAAAUUACCAACACAAUAAAAUCGUCAGAAACAAUUCGUCGCAAAAACGACGUAAACGUUCCAACGAAAGUACGACGAAUUAAUUUUAACACAACAACGACGUAAAAUCGAUGUAAAAUUACAUCGGAUUUACAACAAUUUCGAGACGAUCUAUUUCGCAAAAGUCAAAUAAAUUUAUUAUAGAUCGACGUAAAAUCGUCGUAAUAUAUCGACGUAAAGUCGACAAAAAGUAUAUGGACGUUUUAAAAUAUUUGCCUUUAAUUAGACGUAAAUUUACGACGAGUUUACGUCGAAUUAGAAAAAUAAUUAUUAAAAUUGGAUUUUAAUUUAAUUAUUGAAUUUUUAAAAUAAUCAAAUAAAGGAAAAUUUAAAUUUAAAUUCGAAAAUAAUUCAUAAAUUAAAAUACAAAAUUAAAUACAAUUUAAAAAAAAUAAAAACUAAUCUACACAGUAAAUUCAUAAUCGUCGAGGUUGAGAUCGACGUCUCGAGGAGGCUCUCCGUCAUGUCCGUCCGUCGCUGUUGUACCAUCGUUUCCCGUCUGCACUACGGGAUCCGAAGUCUGACCCUGCGUCUGCUGGUCAGAAGGUCCACCCGCAAUAAUCCUGUGUGCUCGCCGUUGCCUCUCUCGAAAGUGGAUCGUGAAUAUUUCUAAUCCGUUUUUGAAGUCUUCAGUCAAUGACCCAUCAACAUUUUUGGGCGUAUACAUCCACUUUCGUAGAUCGUAUAUAGACAUUUAAAAACAAAUAAAUGACUUUUUGUUUUUGAAUUUUGAUAUAAAUUUCAACUACUAAAAAUUUUACUCAAACAUUCAAAGACUCAAAAAAUUGUGUCUUUAUAUGUUUUUUUGGUUGAUGGAAUAAUGAGAGAAGAAAUGGUAUAUAUAGAUUUUUUGUUUGGUUACCAACAUAUUGCCAUUGAAUAUUAACAUCAAAUUUACGUCGAAAUAAAAUUUACAUUAUAUUUACAUCGAUAUUACGUCAACUACAAGAUGGAGGCCAAUUCAUCGUAUUAUCGAUGUAAAAUUUACGACAAUGUUACGACGAAAUGUAAUUCGUUCUUUAUUCGUCAUAAUGUUGUCGUAAGUUUAUGACGAUUUUACGAGAAUACUAUUUUAUAUCGAAACGACGAAAUAUUUUGACGUCGUACGUAAUUUCGUCGUAAAUUUACUACGACCAUAAAUCGACGUAAAAAAUUCGUUGGAAAUGUCCCUCUUUCUUGUACUAUACAAGGAUUCAUAAAUAAUGAAGCUGUUUUGUUCGGUGAGUGCAUUAAUGUGAGUUAUACAAAAUUUACAUUGGUUACAAAAUUAGGAGACCAUCUCCAUCGGUUUGUUAGGUAAUUUAGAUAAUAAUAAAAAUUAAGAAAUGAUUAAAAAGUUAACAAUUCGGGUUGUUAGGUUGUUGUGGAAGAACCCAGGAAUAUAUAAAAACGUGGCACCAUGUCAUUGGUGGAAGAUUUUUUAUGUGUGUGGGCUAAAAAUCAGGAAUAAGCCCACAUAAAAAUUCUUAAUUUUUUUAAUUAAAAAUUCAUAAUUAAAAAAAUUUUAAGAAACCCAAUCCCAGGUUUAGGGAUGGAGAUGUUUUGCGUGAGUACAUUUUCUCUUUCUUAUAUAAAGUGGAUCCACCAUAACUCCUAAACUAAAUGAGACACACGAUGAGGCCGCAUACAGUGUGGAGAAGGUACACAAAUUCCGCAUUAUCGUUAUAAAAGCUAUGCGAAGUCUUUAAAAAUUAUCUACCGUUCUAAUAACUAACUAAAGUAAUCACGAGAAAUAGUAGUUGGAUAACAAGAUUUUUUUUGUCUUUCUGCUAAGGGCGAAAAAAGUAAUGUAACCUGAGCUCUUUUGCAUCUCUUCUCCGGCGAUGCCGACAGCGUCGGUCUCAUCCUCUUCUCCUCAUGGGGUAGAAAAAACAACCCAAAAAAUCUCCACCAUCCAAACCCUUGUGCCCUCCUCUGCCGCAGGUGAAAUAACCUUCACCAUCUUUGUUUUCACUCAAUGAAGCCGCAAAUCCCUUUGCUCACUCAGUGGCGGGGGAUCCUUCGUCUCUAGCACAGCAAAUCCUUACUGAUUCUGAUUCUCUAGCCUCGACUGACAGCAACUCUCGCUCAGAUCCAAUUGUGAUAGUUCCUGCAACAGUCCAAGCCCCCAAAUAUCAUUUAUGUAAAAGUUGUUGAGACAACAGAUCCAGAACUGAAGAACUCAUCAGUAGAGGCACCAAUUGUCCCGACAAUCCCUGCCUCUGAAUCUGUUUCCGUGAAAUAGUCUUUGGCUGCAGUUCCGGAAAUCCUAAAAAGUUCAAAACCCACUGUGAGUGAUUUGUGGUCAGGAUUAUUCAAAGGUGCUACGAAGCAACUGCAGAAGAAAGGCACAACUUUUACCUUCCCAUCCGAUGAAGCUUAUGUGAAGAUUCUCAAAUAUGUAAUCGAAAAGAACAAAAAAUCCUGGGAAAGUUUCAUCUGUGGGCAAUUAUACACAGAUACGCCCUCCCAGAAAACUGUUCAUAACAUCGUGAAUGGAAUUUGGAGUAAGCAUUUCUGUGAUAUUACAGUAUCAAAGAUAGAGGGCAAUACCUACCUUUUUCAGGAUACCAAAUCCUUCCACUCGACAAUGGGUUUUAACUCAGAGAUUAUGGCAGAUAGAAGGUAAAACGAUGUUUGUCACGAAUUAGGAGUCUGGCUUUGUUCCAUUGAAGCCCGAGCUCUCGUUGUCCCCUAUUUUGCUGAACUAAGAAAUGUUCCUCUACAGUUCUUCAAUGAAGACGGCUUUGAACACAUUGCGGGAUUUGUUGGAGAGCCAAAAUGUCUCCAGCCUAUAACUGCAAACAAGACAAAUCUGUAAGUAACGAAGGUAUUCACGAUAACUGAUCCUCGUAAACCUCUUUCAGAAGUUGUCAAUAUCCAAUUUGAUUCUGGAGAGAUCAAUAGAGUUUUAGUGUCCAGUCUGUGGAUGCCACCACUGUUUUAGUUCUGUAAGAGGUGAAUCAUCAUCUGAGGCAGUGCAAUGAAGCUCCAAUCUUUUGCAAGAAGUGCAACUCAAAAAUUCACGUGGAAGAGAAUUAUGCAAGAACCGUCCUACCUGAACAAAAUAAUCCAAACUCCCAUAGAAACAGAGCCAAGGGAUUAGCUGGAAAUACUUAGAAGUGGGUUAAAGUUGCUGAGAAAUCAUCUGCCAAAUCUGUCAAGUUUACUGAGUCUUCACUGGGGAAAGAAAACAAAUCUUCAAAGGGAGAGUUCAGUGGCGCUGUGGUCUGGUACAUCUUCAAGGGAAGAUCGACGAAAAUGUUAAAGGUCCUCCUAUCCCUGACACAAAAAAAUCAUCAGGAGUGGAAUCAGAUUCUUCGGACGUUGCUUUUGUGGACUUCAGCAAUGUUGUAAACCUGCAGGGUGAGCAGAGUGAGUUCGCAGAGGUAGUUUCAAAAAAGAAGAAGAAGGAUAAGAGGGACAAGAGCCCCAACAAAAGCAGCUUAAUAAAUGGUUGAAGAAAAACAAACCGUUUUAUGAGAGUAUUAUAGAAACCCAUGUGAAACAGCCUAAAUGUAGGAAUUUCAUUAAUAGAUCGCUUCCCGGCUGGUCUUUUGAACAGAAUUAUGAUUUCUCCAUUUAACAAGUGUAAAGGCUGUUGUGGUGGCUAAGUCUUUGCAGAUGAUCACCUACAAAGUUAUGUUUCCUGAUGUGCAGCAGUGGGUUAUUUUGUCAGUGAUGUAUGUUUCUACAGUUGAGACUCUGAAAAAGGAUCUUUGGGCAGAGCUGAUUGUUUUGUCUUCAAGCCAGACUGUUGAAGAAAAAGAAUGGAUGGUCAUUGAGGAAUUUAAUCAAGUUCUCCAUCUACAUGAGCAUUCAAGAGCUAUUACUCUUAAUGUGGAUAGGAGGACAAGAGAAUUCAGGCAGUGUUUGUUGUCGGCUGAGGUGUCAGAUUUGAACUACUGAGGAAACACAUUUACUUGGUGGAAUAAAUGUAGUGCCAGGCCAACUGUGAAGAAGUUGGACCACAUUCUUGUAAAUGAGGUUUGAUCUACUUUUUUCCCCUCUUCAUAUGCAAUAUGUGGAGAGCAUGGUUUUUCAGACUAUGCUUCUUGUGUUGUCGUCUUGGAGUUGGGUUCUCAAAGGCAGAGGAGACCUUUUAAAUUCUACAAAUUUUGCCUCCAGAACCAAGACUUUUACCCUCUGGUUUGUGAACAUUGGUUCUCAUGUAACAUGGUGGAAUCAGCAAUGUUAUGUCUCUCAAGGAAGCUUAAGCUUCUGAAAAAUGUCAUAUGUAGAUUCAGUAGAGAUAAUUUCUAGGAUUCAGAGAAAAGAGUUAUUGAAGCUCAUGAGAAGCUUUUGCUUUGCCAGUCUUAGACUCUAACUGAUCUGUCUCGAACAAAUGCAAAACUGGCGUUUGAAGCACAAAGAAAGUGGCAGAUCCUGGCAAGUGCUGAAGAGUCCCUUUUCUGCCAGAGAUCAAGUGUAACCUGACUUAAAGAAGGUGAUUGUAACACUUCUUAUUAUCACAGAAUGACUGCAUCUAGGAAAGCCAUAAAUCACAUUCACUUCCUUAUUGCACCAGAUGGAGAACAUUUUGAAUAUCAAACAGGAGUUUAAGAGCAUUGUGUUGAUUAUUUCUCACACUUUAUGGGUUGUGAGGUUGGUCCCCAGAUGCUGAUCUAGUCGGAUAUGGAGCUCCUCCUUCCAUUUUGAUGCUCUCAGGCCCAAAAAGAGAGUAUGAUAAAGAGCUUCUCGAAGGAGGAAAUCAAACACCUGCUUUUCUCAUUGCCAAAAAACAAAACCAGUGGACCUAAUGGGUAUUCCGCUGAGUUUUUCACCUGUUACUGGAGUAUUGUAGGGCUGAGGUAUGUGAGGCAGUUGAAGAAUUCUUCCGAUUUGGAAAGCUGCUUCAGCAAUGGAACACUACAACUUUGAUCCUCAUUCUCAAUAUCACAAACGCCUCUUCAACAUCUGAUUUCAGGCCAAUAUCCUGUCUCAACACUAUUUACAAAGUCAUAUUCAAGUUAUUGGCAACCAGAUUUCAGAAGAUCCUGUCUCAGGUAAUAUAUCCCUCUUAAUAGGUUUUCAUGCCAGGUAGGCUGCUUGCAGAAAACGUUCUACUGGCUACGAAAAUUAUGCAUGGCUAUAACUGGAGGAACAUCGAUUCCAGAGCAAUGCUUAAGGUGGAUCUUAGAAAGGCAUUUGAUUCAGUAAGAUGGGACUUUGUCCUCUUGACCUUAAAAGCGUUGGAGUUAUCAGAAAUAUUUGUUAAAUGUAUCAGUCAGUGCAUCACAACUCCCUCGUUUACAAUUUCAGUUAAUGAUAUCACCAGAUGCUACUUCAAAAGCGCAAAAGGAUUAAGGCAAAAAGACCCUCUCUCUCCUUACCAUUUUUCCUUGCAACGGAGGCCUUCUCAGGAUUUUCCACUCUAGAUUUGAGGCUGGGUAUAUCCAUUACCAUCCCAAGACGGCAGAACGGAACAUAUCUCACCUGAUAUUUGCAGAGGACGUGAUGAUUUUUUUUAUGGUGGGAGUUCAUCGUUACACAGCAUAACUGAAGGAUUAGAAAACUUUGCGUCUUGGUCAGGAUUGCACAUGAACAGAGACAAGACUCAACUAUUUCAGGCAUGAGUAAACCACAUUGAAUCCACUGCAAUGGCAAGCUAUGAAUUCACUGUAGGUUCACUAUCAAUCCAAUACUUGGGUCUUCCCCUUAUGCAUCGUAAACUGAGACUCUCUAAGUAUGACCUCCUUUUGGAGAAGCUUGCUAAUAUAUUCAGAUCUUGGGCUGUUACAACCCUCUCAUUCCCAGGGAGAGCUCAGCUGAUUGCUUCAGUGAUAUUAGGAACCGUCAACUUCUAGAUUUCCACGUUUAUGCUCCCCAAAGGUUGUAUUAAAAAUUGAAUCUCUGUGUGCUAGGUUAUUGUGGUCUGGUAGUAUUGUGACAAGAUGAGGAGUAAAAGUAGCAUGGUUUACUGUGUGUUUGCCUAACUCUGAAGGAGGUCUGGGCCUGAGAAAAUUUUCUGUGUGGAACAAGACGCUAUGUCUGCGGUUCAUUUGGUUACUAUGCUCUGAAAGUGGAUAUCUCUAGGCUGAAUGGCAUAUCAGAGCUUCUGGUUGGUGGAGGCAUAUUCAGCUGAUUCAUGGACGUGGAAAUCUCUAUUGGAUCUUAGACCAUUGGCUGAAAUGCUCUUAGGAAAUCUGUUGGAAAUGGACGAAAAACAAAUUUUUGGUUGGAUUUUUGGACACCUCUUGGUCCACUAAUUAAACUUCUGGGUAAUGAUGGCCCGAGAAAUAUCAGGCUCCGUCUUUCUGCUAUAGUCGCAGAUACAUGCACAAUGGAGACUUGGAGAAUCCCAUCGCCAAGAUCUGUAGCACAGCUGAGUCUCCAUAUGCACCUAACGACUAUCAACUUACCUUCUUCCUCUCAGAUCGAAGAUGACUGUUUUUGGUUGGAAAAUGGUGUUAAGUGCAGCCAGUAUUCCUCCUCUAAGACUUAGGAUGAUCUAAGGCCACAACAAGGUGAAACAGUGGUCUAAGCUUGUAUGCUUUAAAGAUUGUGUUUCGAGGCAGGCUUUCAAUAUAUGGAUUGCACACUUGAAUAGGCUCCCCACUAGAGCCAGAAUAGCUUUUAGAGGAACAAAUAUAUUCACAGAUUGUUGUCUUUGUUCCAGAGACGAGGAAACGAGAGAUCAUUUGUUGUUCAGUUGUGCUUAUAGCUCGGAAAUCGGAAAUCUGGAGGCUGAUACUUACAAGGUUAGACCAUACCCAGAGUCUGUUCAUCUUGUGGUCGGAGUUGUUAUCAUGGAUAAGUAUGCGUUCUGAUGCUGCCCCUUAUACCUGAAAGGUGGUGGCUCAGGCUAUGGUUUACCACAUUUGGAUGUCAAAGAAACAAUUUGCUGCACAACUAAUAAAGGAUUCCUGCAUCCAGCAUUUUCAAGUCCAUUGAUCGUGUGACUCGAAACACCAUUACUACGAGAAGACAAAGACGUUGCUUUAGCAACUUUAAUGUCUCUUUGGCUUCAAUGAAACAAUAUAAAAUCUAAUUUACUGUGUAUUGUUCUCCUUGUUUUUUAUUUCUUUUUUGCCAAGGAAGUUUUGUAACAGGUUAGCAUCUUUUAUAACCUUCUUUUCAUUUUAAUGAUAUUAACAUUCAUAGCAAAAAAAAAAAAAAAAGAAAUGGUACUUGCAAUGUUUUACACCAUGUUUGUGUUUUAAAAAUAUUUCACACUACAUAUUCAAAGUUAUAAUGCAGGAUACAAUUUGUUUCUAGUCGAAAAGGUCAAAAAUAUCCAAAUUUUUUAUGUGGUGUUUUCAAGAAUUAUGCUUUUAAGAGAAUUUAAGAAAAUCGGACUAUUCUAUCGAGAUACUAUAACUUAUUCAACAGAAUAUCUAAAGCAUUUGUUCUGAAAGCAAGAAUUCUAGAUGCUCUUCUCCCCAUUUGUUUUUGGUCGAAUGCCACAAAAGAUGUUGAGAAUUAGGCACAAGAACCGGGUUCAAUAAGUUGACAAAUACCAAACCGAGGACCGACGUGGAAUCGUGGAGAAAAAGUUACAUUACAAUAAAGAUAAAUAAAGAAAAGGGAAGAUGACGUAAAGCUCAGAUUUGGAGCCUAACGAACUCCACGUCACCGCCUAAGUUCAUCCAUUGAAAUUUGACGGCGUCUUCUACUCUUCUAUCAUAACCCUUCGUUCUUUCAUGUGAACCACGUCACCGCCAUUCUCUUUUUUUUUUCUUUCUUAAUACAUUUCUCAAUAUGCGUCCAAUAUCAUAAAUAUAAUAUAUAUAUAUAUAUACAAUUUAACCUAUUAAGGCAUUGCAACUUGUAGUGAACUUUCAAAGGAACUUGCAUCCACAAAUUUAAACAUUUUUGCAUGUUGUAGAAUUGAACACGAAUAAUAAAGUGUGUAUUGAUGAUACACUUGUGUUACUUAUUUGACAAUUUAUUUGGUUUUCUUAGAAAAACUGAAACUGGCUUAUACAGUAUGUUUGUACACAUUUUUUGUAUUCGAAGAAAUUGGGGCAUCAUACAGUGACAUUGCUAUUAAUGUUUCUUCUAUAUCAAACCAAGUGAUAACAAAAUAUAAAAAGUAAUAAUGUUGACUUGUAAAUAAAGUAAGAAAAUUAAAUUCUGUCAUUUCAGAAGAGGAAGUAUGUCACAUGUAUAAUAGAUCAUCGAUACUUUUCAUGAGAACUUCCACAAGAAAGCCAUUGACUUCUUAUACCUUUCUCAAUUUUCCAGCUUGACCCAUUUUUUUCUUUUGAAGUUAUGAGAACUUUAUGUAUAAAAACAUUUUAGACUAGACCUCAAGAAAAUUCAGAUAUUUUUAUAAUUUGUGAAAAAAAUGUUGAAAUAAAUUGAUUGGAUUAUUUCUAUUACUAACGUUAAUCCAGUAUUAUGGUGGUCUAUAUUAUUAUUAUAGCCACCUAUACGGAAUGUUGAUGUGCCAAACAAUGGAGACACACAUUGUGUACUUGGAUUAAUGAAUAAAAUGACAUGUAUCAGUCUAUGGGACACAUAGUAAACUAGAUUAUUUCAUACCUAAAAUGCUAUAAUAUUUGAUUGAUAAAUGAUAAGAACAAAGAAAAGUUCUUGCAAGUUUGAAAAAAAAAAAGAGAAUAUCUUGACUCGUGCGGAUCUCAAACUUUUCUUUUCUAUCCUCUUCUCAAAUUAUAUUCCAAGUAAAACACGCAAUUACCAUAAGAGUUAAACAAUAUAAAAAGAGUUCUCAACUAAAUCUUCCAAAAGAGGCUUUCUCUUAUGGUUCACAUGUAAGUAUAUACUUUAAUUUACAUAAAAUUUAAUUUAACGAAUCCUAAUGAGCCUAUUUUCUGAACACGUACAAAUCAAUUUAAUGCAUAUCUUCACAUUUACACAAGAAUAAAGAAACUACACAUAUUUUUACUCCAUUGCUUCUGAAUUUAUAUAAUUCUUUCCAUUUAAUAUGAUUGAGUUUUUAUCCCUCUAACAAGGAAAAAUAUUAUAUAUAGAUACAAGGAAAGCCCAUUUCAUUAUCUAUCUUCUCUUUGAUUCAGCGAGCGAAAUAAAAACAAAAGGCCAAAAAUGGGUGCAGACGCAAUCCAAACGAACGGUCACGAUCCCGCCAAGUUAACCGCCGCGAGAGGGAUCCAACGGUUGAGAUGCGCCGUGAAGAACUACGAGUGGGGCAAACUCGGACCGGACUCACUUGUUGCGAGGCUCCACGAGGCGAAUUCAGGGGACCGAGUCGACCCGGUGGUUCCUCACGCCGAGUUGUGGAUGGGUACUCACGAGUCGGCACCGAGUUACGUUGUGAAGGAAGAAGAAUUCGGGUCGGGUCGUAAUGGAUCCGAAUGCAUGGUUACAUUGAAAUCAUGGGUUUUGGAUUAUCCGAAUUUACUCGGGUCUAGAGUCGUGGACAAAUGGGGUUGUGAUCUUCCUUUCCUCUUCAAGGUAUUAUAUUUUAAAAGUUUCCAAUUAAAACAUGUAUAUUCAAAACCUUCUUUCAAAAAAAAAAAAAAACAUGUAUAUUCAGAUUCUGUUUAUGGUAAAUCUUUUUGUUUUUCCAGUUUUGUCUCAUACAUAAUUGUUCAGGAACAAAAGUAUUAUUUAUUUGAUCCUAAGAUUCUCAUUUUGAAUAUUUUUGCUCUGUUUUGAGGAUUUUACUUUUUGACUCUGUUUUCUUAUAAAAUUUCUAAUUAAAAGUCAAAACAUAUAUAUAUAUAUAUAUAUAUAUGUAUUUUUUUGUAAUUUCAGAUUCUGUGAAUUGUCAAUUUCUCCACUUUUUAUAUUUACAUAUAUUAUAUAUACAGCCAAUUUGUCUUGUUAGAUACAUAUAUAUUUUGGCUCUGUUUUGAGGAUGAUACAUUUUAACUCUGUUUUCUCAAUUUAUAAAAAUGCAUUUCUUUUUCUCUGUGUGUUUUAAAUUUAAAACAUAAAGGUUUGAUUCUAAUGAAUAAGAGUUUGAUGUUGAAAUGUGCAAAAAAUAAAAACAGGUUUUGUCAGUGACGAAAGCAUUGUCGAUUCAAGCACAUCCAAACAAAGCCUUAGCAGAGAAAUUGCAUAGAGAAGAUCCUCUUCUUUACAGAGAUGCUAACCAUAAGCCUGAGAUUGCUCUCGCCAUUACUCCUUUUCAAGCUCUUUGUGGUUUCGUAUCUCUUAAUGUACUAGAUUCUUCACUUCUCUGCAAACAUCUAAUUUAGUCGGUUUUUGAUUUAGAUAACUUCGGUUAUUUUGCCUAUCACAUAUGCUAAAUCCAAAAUUGAACCGGUUCUGUACCACUUUUGAUAUCAAAUUCAGGAGCUGAAGGAAGCCAUCGCCAAUGUACCAGAAAUCACAGAGCUUGUCGGAAGUAAAGCAGCAGAUCAAAUCUUCAAAGUCAACGAACACGAUGGAGACGAAACAAGUGUUAAAUCCGUUGUCCGUUUGAUUUUCACGCAAUUGAUGUCUGCAAACAUCAAUGAUACAAAGCAAGUCAUAUCACAGAUGAAGAUUCGUCUGAUCUCAGAAACAAACCACCGUGAGUUAUCGGAGAAGGAGAAGUUAGUAUUGGAACUAGAGAAACAGUAUCCAGGUGACGUGGGCGUGAUCUCAGCAUUCUUCUUUAACCACGUCAAGCUUAAUCCCGGAGAGGCUUUGUAUCUUGACGCCAACGAGCCACACGCUUACAUUUCCGGCGACUGUGUUGAGUGUAUGGCGGCUUCAGACAACGUUGUUAGAGCUGGUCUCACUCCGAAACACCGCGAUGUUCAAACUCUGUGUUCUAUGCUGACCUACAAAUUGGUAACUUUCUUUACACGUUAACGUUUUUUUUGGUUUAGUUGGCUAGCAAAAUUUGGAUUGUACCCUAACCCUAACCAAAACCGAAAAUUUAUUUUUCUUUGUUUGGUUAUUGAUUAAUUGUACCGGAUUUGUUUCAGGGCUACCCGGAGAUUUUGAAAGGAUUUCCUCUGACUCCAUACAUUACGAGAUACCUUCCACCAUUUGAUGAGUUUGAAGUGGACCAUUGUGAUCUUCCUAGAGAGAAAUCCACUGUUUUUCCGGCCAUACCAGGGCCAUCGGUUUAUCUGGUUAUUGAAGGAAAAGGGACAUUGAAAACCGGUUCAUCUCAAUUGUUGGUUAAACGAGGAGAUGUUUUGUUUGUUCCGGCACAUAACGAGAUUCACGUAACCGGAGAAAGUGAUGUGAUGAAGCUUUACAGAGCUGGAGUCAGCAGCAGAUUCUUUCAAACAAUGUAGACUAAGUAAAGAUACAUAUAUAUAUAUUUAAUUUGUUAUCUAAAUGUAACCAUAGGGAUCAAGGCAUUGACGUGAUCAUAGUCAAUAUUGGUCCAUGUUCUUUAAUCCUACAAAUGUCCCAUUACGAAUCAAGGGUUCAAGGGGUUGUUUUUCUAUUAACUUUUGUUGUUUCUUCUACACCUUUAAAAUUGAAUUAUAUAUGUAAAAUGAUUAUAAAACAAUGUUUUUUUUUUUACUUUUUGCUAUUGUAGUGUAGUAACUAGUAAUUAUUCUUCCUUUACCUGUUUAAACUUUAAUUUCUAGAACUACUCUGCAAAAGCACAUUUGUUCAGUUGUAAUAUGUAGAGAUCGAACCACAGAGACGAGAAAUUCGCUCAAUAAACCUAAUAGACUCUAAUUGCGCUAAGAAGAAAUAAUGAAAUUGAGAGCAGCAAUGCAAUAAAAAACGGUUUUAAAUUCGAUGGGAAAGAAUUAGGCUCAGGGUGUUUCACAGAAAAUCAGAGAAUGCAGACAAAUCGAUUAGUCAUGAUUCAGAUUUAAGCGCAAUUCUUGAACUCAAAUCACGAAAUUAUAAUUAACUAACUUUUGUUGCGAAAAUUAUUUAAAUCUAAAUCCCAGAAUCCCAAUUUUCUUUGCAAUCCUAAAGAUAUAAAUUAGCCUUAAGUGCAGGUUCGAUAUGUUCACAAAGUGUCUAAACCAAUUUUUUUUGUGGAUAGCUACUUUGCUCAUCCUAGGUUCUUUCGGAUUAUUCAAUUACAGUUUCGUGUCAAUCAAUUAACCUAAGAUCUAAGUUCUAGGUGAUCAGUCCAAAAUUAGCUUUAAGAAUAAUCUAUGGUGAAUUACUAAUCAGAUUAUGACCCCUAACUAAUUAAUUAUCUAAAAUUCAAAGGGAUCCCUUAUGAGAACCCUAAACCUAACAAACAAACUACUCAAAUAUGGAGAUUGAAUCAAUAAACAUGAAUGAAUAGAUUGCAGAAAGCAGUAAAAAGAUUAAUAAACAGAGGUUCAAAAUCUUCUCUCAAACAAACAGAGUCUCAGACUUGUCUCCCUAAAAGCUCUCUCAAGAUCAAUAGAAAUCAAAAGUCUCAAAGAAAAUCUAGAGUGUAGCCAAAACACGUGGCUGAAAACCCUAUCAAAAGCUAAAACACAUGUUGGACUUCCCUGUAAAUAUUGGAGACUUCUGGGCUCAAGAGAUUCUUUAAAACUUAGACAAAAUCACGUUUUUCCUUAUUCACGACAUUGGUGUCGAGCAACACCAAAACAUAUAAAUCAUCUUUCACGAAUUUGAUCCCUGCUUAGUUCCAAAAUGCUCUAAAAUCUCCAAUUAAACUCCAAAUACAUUUAAGACCUGAAAAGACUCCAAAAAAUUAAAAAAACACUAAAGAGACUCUAUAAAUAAAACCUAUCAUGAUCAAAAACCAUAAAAAAAAACCAUGAUAUAUCAUUCUCCAUGAUAAGCAUUUUUCGAAUGGUCUGAGUCGAACAAAACAAUGUUCUCUAAAGUAUAAGGCCAAUUCUUUUUGCCUCCCUCGUCACUUACCUUUUGUUUGUGGCUUCCAUGGCAUAGACUAGAGAGAUGACCCCGAGAAGACCUAAUCUAGCACGCAUUUGUUUGGAUGUUGCUAAUGUUCCGUUUUAAAGUACAUAUGCAAAGAUCGUGGAAAGUAAAACGAACUCAAUCUUAAGUCUUGAGACAAUGAUUUUUGCCAAUUUUCCGGUAAGCUUUCCCGGUGAAAUCUUUCACUGGAAUGACCUGAUUAUGGAUGCGCUGGAAACUUGAGUACUAUAACGUGAUAUACUUAUAUGUCAAAAUCGAAUUUAAACUGAAUGAGAAAUGAGGAUUCUUAGAGAGUAUAGCUUGAAAGCUUAAAAAUAACAUAAGUUACCAAAUGACAAGUGUGAUUUGUCCCACAUUAGCAAUUCAACGUUACAUUUUGAACGUAGUGUUACGUUCUCCCCUUGAUAAUACUCAAUAGAUCUGCUUCUAGCCUGUCCCAACAAUCUGAUUCGGAUUGAGAAUUGCGGUUUUUGCGAACGUUGUUAAAGAUUUCCAAAAAAAAAAAUAUUUCAUUACGGCUUUUCACAUCAAAUCGGAAAAACUCUGCUUAGUUUUAACUUUUUAGGGAAUUUGAUAAAUAUUUGACAAACUUUGUGAAAAUAACUUUUGGAGUAGCAAAAUUCCGCAAAAAAAAAAAAAAAACUCAGAGUAAACUUACUGACAAAAGAAAAAAGUUUCCUCAAGUUGGUUUAGUCGCAUUCCUUUUGUCAAGCACUUAAUCCACUACAAAGACGUUUUGUUGUAAUUUAACCGAACUGAACAAUCAUUCCAAAUCUUAAUAAGCAGCUAAAGAGAGACAUUGAGAGACCAAGAUAAACCGGUUUACUUGCACCUACUUGCUGUUUGUUAAAGCUUUGGUUACAAAAUGUGAAACGAUUCCAACCGGACAGAAGAGAAGGCACAAUGAAACCGAAUGCCUCGUCUCAAUCUUAUUCUCUAGCCCAUCAUUAAAAACUUGCCUGCAGAGAAACACUCAAAACAUGAGUUAUAAGAAACAUGCUAGGAUCAAUCAGAACCUGAAAAGUGCAAUAUAGUACCUUGCAGCGAAAAGAUCUAUAACAAGAAGAUGAAUCCAAGCAGAAGCAAGAGUCAUUUCACUUGAGAACAUUUUCGCUAUUCCAGACAACUGCAAAUGAAAAAAAAAAAAAGAAAUUUUAGAAACUGGAAUGUACACAUUUUCUUGUUUUCGAUAUUUCCUGAUAAUUGGAGGAAAAAGCUAAAACCUCUGGCAACAUGUAUUUACUGGAAAACAUGUAUUUGAGAGUAUCAGGCGUCCAAGAAAGGUAUAACAAAUACGCGUAUAAUACGCCUAAGACGAUAUACGGUAUGCUACUCUCCAUACACUUUUUGGUCUGCACAAGGAGAAAACAUACACUCAAUUCAAUAUGAACUUUUUUGAUUCUGCACAAGAAGUUGUAAAACUGCUAAACAAAAACUCACAAUUUCAGCUUUUGGAGCUACAACCAUUAGAGUGUAAAAGGGUAAAACAGCGGUUGUUCCAACCGCAAAUACACUGCUUGCAAUCUGAGAAGUAGCUAUCCCUGCACAAGAACAUGUUAUGUCUCUGUCCUACUUUCAAUUUAAACAUUGAAGAGCUAUAGAUUCUAGACAUAUAUCAAGCCUCUUUUUGGUUUAUAAUGUUUCAGUUAAGAGACAUUACAUGAAGCUCGUACACCAGAGGAUUUCUUUUGAACAAGAGAGGACGAGUUCGAUGAAACAUUAGGGAAAAGUGCGAUUUUUGAUCCUCCGAUAAAGCUCCAACGAUUCUGAAGUCGAAUACUUGACGAACCAACGCAUAGUUUAGACUUGACAUUGCUGAGAGAAAGACUUGUUAUCGAGCUCUUAGCUGAAAUGUUGCGAUUCAUCAUCUGAAUCACCAAACAAAAUGAAUCAAUCUGAUGAAAUAUAAAAAACUUCUUUAUUUCUUAAAAUUUAGGAAUCUGAGACCAAAAGCACUUUGAUCUGAACAACAACGAAUCAGGAACAGAGUUAGGUUCUGUAACAGGGACCCAUGAGGAGUAAAUUCAACUUCUUUAAUGUCUGCGUCAAUUCGAUCUGAUUCAAAGGAUAAAACUUUAAGGUUACCCAUAAGGAAUCUGAACUAUUCGAAAUUGUAGAAAGCUCGACAUAAGAAUCUAAUCCGACAAUCUCCAACAACUGUACAUACAUACAUACAUACAUACAUACAUGAUACAUACAUACAUACAUACACACACAUAGAUAUAGACAUAUAUCUGCGUAUACCGAAAAUUGGAGAAGAAUUGAAAAAGGAAGAGAAAAGGUAGAUACCGAGAGAGAUGAAGAAGACAAAGGCUGGGAAAUGCAAGAAGAUAAAGCCAUCUGCGAUUCAAAUCUUCAAUAGUCUUUGCCAGAAUUUGGCCAUUCAUUACCUUCUUCAACGAGCUCUCUCCAUAUAUAUAUGUAAAGUAUCAAUUUUUAGAGAGGAGAGUUGAGAGUUUUCCACUGGUUGAAAAGGGUAAGUGGAGAAGAAGCUAAGAGAAAAAGUGCUCACUCACUCUUUCUUCAUCAGUGUGGACAAUUAUAGUUGCUCAUCCACCCGAAUUUUUUAAAAAAGUUUUGGUCUUUUUUAGUUUUCCUCGUUUACUUCUGUUUCGCAUAAACAAAAAAAAAAGAAAAAACCAUUAUGAGUUUGAGUUAAUUUUAAAGAGAAAAUCAAAUUUAAAGAUUCUUUAUAUUGUAUGUUCAAAAUUGCAAUAUAUUAUGGAAAAAAAGAGAAGAUUUUUUCCUAAUUUUAGAUAAAAACCUUUAAUAAAAAUCAAAAAAUUAUUAAGAUAUUAAUUUAACCUUAUAUUUUAGAUAUUGUUCUUUUUCUGGUCAAUAUAAAAAAUUACAGUUUACCAUUCUUAUAUAAAAAAAAAUUAAUUAGACUCAAAUGGAAUGUUUUUAUUUUUUUAACAAGAAUAUAACUUUCAUAGAACCUAAUACCCAAAAAAAAAACAUUUGACCCGACUAAAUUAAAAUUCAAGGAAAGAUUGGAGCUUUGAUCCUUUACUCGAUAAAAAAAAGGUUCUUCAUUGUAUGAUCAAAUGACUUGUCGGAUUGUAUUUGUAGGUGGCUCAUCGUAGGAUUAAUAGCUUCUCGGAUUUUGUUAUCCUUGUCUUGUGUUUUGCUUUUUCCGUGAAGAUCAAAAUUUUCUUCUAUACAUUCCUGCUAUAUAUUCCAUCAUGUUCUACCGGUUACACUUAUAAGCCUAUAAGGAUAUCUAAUCUACUUUUUUAUUUGAUAAAAACCUAAUAUCUUUGUUAAUGGAUAUUUGUGCUUAAACUGAAUUUAGACACAACACAGGUCUAGUUCAGGACAGAACAAGACAAAAGUGACAGUGCUACUUCUACUCAGCAGUGGUUGUGACUUCCUCUAAAGACAAAAGUUGGUGUUUCCACCAUUAUUUCGGUUUUGCUUUUAUUAUAUAUUUUAUUUUAAUUUAUUUUUCGCUACAUGAGAAUUGCAUUAACGAAGGACAUUAUAUAUGAAAACAAAAAAAAACAAUAAAAAGAUAUACAUACAUGUGUCUGACACUCAUUGUUUGUGAAAUCAGUUGGGAGUAAGAUAGCGCUUGAGUGGGCUAUUUGGUAUGAUAGCUUCUCUCUAUUGAUGGGCCUUAUUGACCCACCCCACUUCAGUUUUGUUUAGUCAUUCACAACAAGAAAAACAUGAAAACAAAAGCAACACUUGUCUUUUCUAUCUCUCAAUCUGUAAGUGGUAUAUGCGCAUUUCGUUGAAUUCGAUUGAGACCAAAACUCUUUUAAAACAUAAUGUAUAGUUCUUAGGAUUAUAUGGGGAAAAUAUAUGAUGUCUCAAAGAUUUUUCAUAACAUAUUAUAUUCCUUAUAAUAAAAGGUCACCUGGGGUUUUUCUAUAAACCGGGGUUUUUUUAUAAACCGCCGGCUUUUCUAUAAACCGCCGGCUUUGUCUCUGGAGAUGUUGUAUCAUCUGCCGGCUUUGUGUAAUCCGUUGGCUUUGCUCUGUAACACUAUGGUGAUCAAUAUAAUAAUAUUCAAUGAAAAAAAAAAAAGGUCACCUAAAUAAUUAAAAAUUUGAAUUUUUACGACUCAUAUUUCUAUCCUAUUCCAAAGCUAGGAAAACAACAUAAAGAGUUACAAAUUCUUACUAUAUAGUACUUCCAACAAUAUCUUUAUGUAAAUUUGUGCCAAGUCAUUUUGAGUGGAAAAUGUAGAAUAUAUGAUCCACAAGAUCCUUGAAUAUACUUGGGUAUAUAGAAAUAAAAAUGAAUAUCCGAGACUCUUAUCUACAAGCCUAUCCUUAAGAAGGCACGUCCACGAAUGUUUCUAUCACAGAUUUUCAGUGGGCCAUCAUCUAUUACUUCAAGAUAUUGUUCUAAAAAUGCAUCUCAACCUCAAGCUUACUAAUCAUGUGACAAAAGUGAUAAUGUGAAUCUAGUUUUUCAAAUAAUUUCUUUAUUCAAUGACGACUAAUCAAAGAGUUGGUAUAUUUUUGUAUUCACAGUUCUUCAACUUUGUAUAUUUUCAUAUCUUGAGCCGCAUUGUAAUUUGUUUUUUCUUAUAUGCAAAAUUCAAAAUCAAAGAUUUAUAGAACAUUACAUAUUUAUUUCAUCAGACAUUUGAGAAUCCGAUAGAAAAUGUCUCGCAAACCGGAAAACAAACGUUAAAUCCGGAAAUUAAAACAAAACUAAGGAAACCAAAAAAAAAAAAGCAGAUGAUAAAAUCAAAGGUGAGGAGGGAGAUAAAGUUUUUUUUUUUUGAUGUUUACACAAAGCAAAGAAGCAGUGAAAUUAAGCAUCGGUGAAGCUUGCUGGCUUGUAGGCGAUGAAACUGAUGCACUGGACUUGACGGGUGUUGUCGAAUCCGAUGAUCCUAAUGAAGGCCUGGGGGUACUCCUUCUUGCACUCUUGCACUUCCUUCAACACUUGAGCUGAGUCAGUGCAUCCGAACAAAGGAAGCUUCCACAUUGUCCAGUACCGUCCAUCGUAGUAUCCGGGAGUGCUUCCGUGCUCACGGUGCACAAAUGCGUUCUACAAAAACACAUUACACAAAACCAUUCAAAAACAUAAAUCAAGAUUCUGCUUAGGACCUCUAAAUAGUUAUUAACUUGAUUGCAAGAUUCAUAUGGUCCAAGAGAUCAAGCUACUCUAUAAAUGAUUUUUAUUACCUCCAACUCGAAUUCAACACAGGGAAUCCACUUGUUGCGGAGAAGGUAGUCAACUUCCUUAGCCAAUUCAACUUCGGUUAGGUCAGGAAGGUAAGAGAGAGUCUCAAACUUCUUCUUACCAAUAGGAGGCCACACCUAUUUUUUGCCAUUUUUCCAAAAUCAACAAAAACAAUAUUAGUUUAUAUGAUUCGAUAAAUCAAAAACCCAUAAAUUUGUUUUUGGUAUAAGAGAUUUGACCUGCAUGCAGUUAACUCUUCCGCCGUUGCUUGCGAUGGAAGUAAUGUCGUUGUUGGCCUUACGGGUCACAGGGAAAGCAGCGGAGGACUUAAGUCCGGUGAAAGGUGCGACCAUUGUGGCCUGAGCCGGAGAAGCGACCAUUGUAGCGGAAGAGAGCAUAGAGGAAGCCAUAUUGCCUUUACUCUUUUUGUGUGUGACUUAGGUUUGGUCUAGUGCUUUGGUCAUCUAUAUAUAAUGGUAACAACAAUGAUAACAAGGUGAGGGAGUGAUCGGAGGGCUCAGGAUCCAUGAGAUUGAAGUUGAAUAGGAUUAAGACCGUUGGAUUUUUGAGUGGAUAUGUGUGAGGCUUAAUUACAUGGUAACGGCCACAAAGCCUAAAGGAAAGGUGUUGAGACCCUUAUCGGUUUGAAUCACUAGAAAAAUGCCACGUGGAAGAUAAUUCCAUGAAUCUUAUCGUUAUCUAUGAGUGAAAAUCUGUGAUGGUGGUGCUACUCAUUUUAUUUUCCGGUGUGGGUUUAGCCUCUUCCUUUGGGGGAGAUAAAUAUUACUACUUAAAAGGCUUUUAAAUUUUCAUUUUCUUUUUAAACCUUGGGUUUGAUUAACGAUAACGUCAGGCCCAAAGUGAUUGUAGAAAAAUAUUGUAGUCAGAUUGCAAGGUGAUGUGAAUUUUUAAUUUACUAAUAGCAUCUCCAAGAAAUAACUUUUACAUUUUAAGUAUGUUAGAUCUUAAAUUUAAUGUUUGAAGGCAGGACAUAUCUCUAAAGGCAACUUCAAAUUUUCAAAUAUGAGGUUUUGUUCACCCCAAAAUAGCAUUAAAACUUUAAAUUUGAGGUUUAUAAUUUUUUAUUUACAUUUUAAUCUUUACAAUUAUAUAUUUCAUAAAUAAUUAUUUUAUUUUUAGCUUUACUAUUCUAAUCCAAACAAUUUUAUAUCUCAUGAAUACUUCACAUUUCUCUUUAUAAAUUUUAUAUUUGCAUAUAAAAUGAAAUUACAAACUAAAAUUAAAAAUACCAAUAUGAAAUAAUAUUACAUAACAUAAGAACCAAAUUUUACACAACAACAAUAUUACAUUUAAAAAUUUUAAUACAAAAUAAAGUAACAAAAAUAUAUAUAUAUAAAGUAGCAUAAAAACUUCAAUAUUACACAAUUGAAAAUAGUACAACAAAACUAAUAUUCCGGUAAGUAAUAAAGUUGUAUGAUAUUUAUUAAUAAUGAUAUAAAUAAGGAUUAUAAUGUAAUAUUUUAAAAUUUGUGAUAUUGGAUUUGAGGUUUUGCUUUUGGAGACAAACACCAUCAAACCUCAAAUAUGAGGUUUGACCAACUCAAAUUUGAAGUCCUCUUUGGAGCAGUGGCGGAGGCAGCAUAGUUUUAGAAGGGUCAACUGACCCAAGUAAAAUUCUUAAAAAAAUAAAAUUGUUCUUGAUUUUUUUUUUUAAUUUAUCCAUCUUCCAAGCCCAAAAUAAGAAUUGACCCCCCUAGAAUUUAAAAUUUAUUUUAAUCCUGACCCAUGUAACUAGUUUUCUUGCCUCCACCACUGUUUUGGAGAUACUCUAAAUGAUAAAACCACAAAAUAAAAUUUCAAAACAAAAUUGUUUUUUAUUUUGCAUUAUAAUGUUUUAUUAUGGAUUAUAAUUACCUAAAUCAUAGAACUUUUAUAAAUAGCUACAAAAAUAUAUAUUAGAAAAUAUUACAAGCAAUACUAUAAAAUUUUGAUAUUAAAUUACAUAUAAAUAACAAUAAAGCACAAAAUAAAUCAUAAAUUACAAUUAAAAUACCAAACUAAUGAAUGAAACUAUUACCAUAGUGCUCCAAAAUUAUUUAGCAUCUAUAUUUUUAUUGUAAUUUGCUUGAUAAAUGUAAAAUUUUUAUGAGAUAUAAAACUGUAGGAGCUCAACUUAUAAACAGAAAAAUUAUUACGAUUAUUUUUUAAAUAUAUAAUUGUAAAGAUUGAAUGUAAAUGAAACACAUAAAAUAUUAAAUUUGAGGUUUUGAGAGUUCUAUGUCAAAUUCUUAUCUUUUUAUAGAGUUUAUUAUCAUAUUUUCACGGGAACACACAUAAUAUUUAUCUUGAUUUCGUACAUUAAAUUUUGAUUAAUAUCGAGUUGUGGCUGUCCAUAGGAUUGUUUGAUUUCACUUGGUGAACUAAUGAUCCACGAGAUAGCGAACUCAAUAAUUAGAUGUUGAAUGAGCUUCUCAUACCAUAGGCCUUUUUAAGUUUUUAAUGAUAAUAAGCUUUUUCUUUUCUGAACCAUGCUUUAAUAUGAGAUCUGAAUCUGAUACCAAACAACAUGUAAAGUAUGAUCACAUGUAAGCUUCUUCUAUUUAACGGAAAUUUCUAAUUUGCGAUUUAACAUAGCUCUUUGACCAACUCAAUUGGGUUUGCAAUCGAAAUUUAUGGAAUAUAUCUUCGAUCAAAUGAUAUCUAAAGAGUUCUCUACUAGAAAGCUCAUAACUUAUGUAUGUAUUUUUCUUUUCUAUAAUAAAAUUAAGAAGUAUUUUUAUUAUAUAAAAGAGAAUCUUUCGGUAUGGAAACAACAUGUAGGAUAAUUAUAACUUACGAAAUCGCAACAUAAGUCAUUGUUAAUUUAGAUGGUAACAUUUAUCAAUACAAUAAUAUAAAAUUUCUAAUUUUAGUAAUUUGUUUUUUUUUAAAUUAUGUUUUUUUUUUAAAUUAUGUUUUUUAAAUAACACUAAUAAAAUAGAAAAAGGUAAAAUAAGAGGAAAAAAACAGAAACUAUGAAAUAGAAAAAAUAUAAACUAGAAAAUCUACAAUCUAUAAUAUAUUUUUUUACUUUAAAAAGAUUGUUUAUUAAGUUUGAAUUUUCUAAUGAUAAAUUAAAUAUAAUUUGUGGAUGAGUUAACAAGAUUUUAAUUUAAAAUAUACCUAUAUAUAUACUGAUCUUAAUGAAUUAUCAUUUUUAAAAUCUAAAUAUUUUAACAAUCUUCUGCAAGUCUAGUUAAAUAUAAAACGUAAAAAACUUAUCAAUCCAAUGAUUAGAUAAGAACUAAUAUUUAUCUUACACUAAAUAUAACUUUCAACCUAAUAAACCUAAACUACAUUAGAUCAAUGCUGAAUUAUUAAUAUUUAGAGCUUAAAUCUCUUUAAGAAAAAUAUACAAAAACAAAAUUCUAUCAAAAAACAUAGCAAAUUUAAAAUCGAUUAUAAAUCAAAUGAAGUUUGAGAAAAGACGAAACUAUUUGCAAUUUAAAUUGUGAUGGCGUUUAUUCAAUUUAGUAAAAAGAGGAGCAUUUCAAAAUCAAAUUUAAAGUAGACAGUUUUGGUGAACAUUGACCAAUAUCUGCCAAAUAUGAUAUGACCCCAAACAUAAAUUCAUGAUCAAACACUAAACAUGUUUUCCCAAAUCCAAAAGCUUUAAAAAUUAAAAAUCAAAAUACAAUCAAAAGCAAAACUAAAUCGAUGAAAUUAUAUCAAAUAACAUCGAAAGAAGAGAUUUAAGCUCCACGAUUACGAUUACAUCCACUUGAAAAUAUGGAUCAUCUGAAGAUUAUAGAGUUGCUUGGACAAAUUCUAAGUAGGUGGAAUUUAUCUCACUAAAUUUAAACUACUUUCUUUGGUGUUUUUUUAAUUUUAAUUUCAUCCAUUUAAUUUUAGGCACAUUUGAUUGAGUUUAUAUUUUAGGUCAGAGUCUAAUUUGUGGUAUUGGUUACAAAGAUGAUGAUAAAACAAAAAUUAAUUCGUAGUGAUUUGCGGGAGCAAUUCACAAACCUUACAACAUUUUAUAUAUAAUGCUUAAUUUGAUCAUAUGAUGAAAAUAAUAUUUACAUAACACUAACACUAAAAUCUACACACUGAGUGAUUAGAAACGUUAUAAAGUGAUAAUACAGAAAAAAUAACUAGUUUUGUCAAUCUCCUGUAAUUGACUUUUGCACAAAUUUAUGAUAGUUUUGCAUUAAAAAAUUUGUAAAGAGAAAUAAAUCCUAAAAUAAUCUUACAAACACCUUAGUUUGCUAUAGUAACCUACCUCACACAAAUCCUAACCAAUAUAACCUUACCAAAGUUGGAAAAGAUCUUUUUUCCUAGUUAACUAUUUAUUAACAAAAAUACCAUUAUUUAAAUUAUUUAUUUACGAUCUUUAUUUUUUAAAAAAAUUUCUGAAAUAACAAUUAAAAAUCUUUUCAUUAAUAAAAUUUUUUAUGAAAUAACUAUUAACUUAAUUUGAAAAACUGUUUUGUUGUGACAAAACAACAGACAAAAAAAUUGUCGGUGACGAUGAAGAUGAAGAUGAAUCCGACAUUUCGCUUGUUCUCCAGUGACUCCGUCGAAUCCCGUGUCUUCUUCCCUGAAAUUUUUCUCGAAGUUGUUGUAGCGUCGGCUGUGUAGAGGAAAAGUUUCAGCAUUGGUCGUUAGAUCAUGUAUGAUGAAGUUACAGCUUUUAAAAAUAAAACUAAACAUUAAUUUUUGUGUGUUGCAGGAAUGGACAUUCAUGUAUAGUAUACUUGUUAGAUCAUGUAUGAUGAAGUUAUUGUUUUGUGUAUGUAUUGUAUAGUUGUUGAAUCAUGUAUGAUAUUGUUAUUGUUCCGCGUAUGUAUGGUUGAGUUGUUAAAUCAUGUAUGAUAGAGUUAUUGUUUUUUGUAUGGUAUAGUUGAUUCAUGUAUGAUAGACUUGUUUAACCAUAUAUAGUAUGGUAAUGUUACUGAAUCGUGUAUGAUAUACUUGUUGAAUCAUCUCAAUUGAUGAGUCAACAUCGUCAAUGACAGUUUUGAACUCUAUAUUUUCUAUGAUCUCGACGCAUAGAUAGACCGUCUCGUUUUCAAAUUGACGUAAAAACCCAGCAAAUUGUCGAGUACUUGCUACAAAAACCGGAGAUAUAUCUUAUGAUAGUUUUUGCUUGUAUCUCUUUGAUUUACCAACAAAAUCAAAUCUACCAUCAAAAGAUGGAAGACUUUAUUUUCAACUGAUGGGCUUGCGGGUCUAAGGUAGUUUUUUUUAACAAGCCCGUUGGUUCUCCAAAAGUUUUUAAUUUAUAAAACCUUAGUGUCUGCAAGUGCAUAGAUGUACGUUGUAGGACUUAGGGUGUCGAUCCACAAGGAGAAUGUCUAAUCUGCGAGAAACAACAAACUGGGAAGUAAGCAAAGUCAUAAACCAAUAAAAGUUUUGGGGUUUUUGGUUGAUCUUAAACUAAACCUAAUCUAAUAUUCACAAGAAAUGCAAUGCAUGAUAAAUUGUUAAAAGAACAUCUAAAACAUAUCGACUCAAACUAAAGACUCUUAAACUCAUAGGUGAUGAUUUAGACUUCUCUGGUUUACUCUAAUCAAUGUAUGAUGGCAUUUCCAAUUAGCUUCCGGGCGAUUUAUUUUCAUCUGUUUCUGGGAAUCUGCAUGGAACUAUAAUAGACAUAUGUAUGAUUAACCAAAUCUCGUCACCUUAAUCAACUAAUCUCUUAGAUCUAGAAAUUAACUCUCGCUCUCAUGCUAAACUUAAGAUCAUGCAUUAAACAUUGAAUUUGUCUGCUCACAUCUUCUCUAUAGGUAGCUUUCGACUCCUAUAGCGACUAUGUUCUUCUGAAGCUAGGUAUGGAUGAUCUGAUACAGCACUCUCGUGACUCUGAUCGAUCCUAGGCUCAGAGAAUAGGUCAUGAAUCUACUCUCAUGCUUUAUGAACAACUUAUAAGAGAUGAGAUCCAGAAUAUGGUCUAGAACAAUAGAAAUCCUAAUCGAUAUCUAUGCUUGUCGAUAUCUUCAAACAACUUGAAUCUCUAGACUAAUCUACAUGAUGCAAUAAAUGAUGAAAGACAUAGAAGAAUGCAAAAGAAUGAAACAGAAAAGUUAAUAAGUUAAAAAGGAGAAAGAACAAUGGAUCUGGGGAAAAAUCCCCAUUUCCAUCGCCUAGCCCUAGAAAAACAGAGUUUAGUGGCUCAAAAUCUCAUUACAGGAGCACACACCCGUUUAGAGCUGCUAAACAAUGUAUUUAUAGGUCAUAAGGUCUUCCAGGUCUCAUUUAGGGCUUUUCUGAGGAGAAAUGGCGAAGUGGGUUUUGAUGUUGGGCCUUGUGGCUCGUCCUAAGGUCCACCGGGGGUGAGAGUAUUCCAGGGCAGGUAAAACAUGUGUUUACCGCGGGUGAGAGUCUUUCGGGACUAGUAAACUGAAUCAACUUGUUCUCUUUUGAUUGCACCGGUGGAUAUUUGUGAUGUAAAGUUCUAUGUAAAGCUGGUUGGCUCCUCUUGAUUGUCUCCAAAUUUGAGCUGGAUCAGACGGUGGGAAGACCUUCAUUUGUUACCAAACUUCCGACGGUCUAAUUCGGAGCUGAAAAAGUGGAUUUCUUCCAUUUUGCCAUCAUUUUCCCUAAGUUUCCUGAAAAGAGCCUUGAAACUACAAAUACAUGGAAAUCAUAAUAAAAGUUCCUAAAACUAAGUAAAACCUUUGAAAAAACAUUUGAAAUCAAUGGUGAAAAUGAGUCAAAAUCAGGUGUUAUCAAUUCCCCCAGACUUGAGACUUUGUUUGUCCUCAAACAAAACUAGACCAAAUCUGGAAAAUAUCAUUCAACAAAAAUGAGAAGGAACUUAAAAAUAUCAGCAACCAUACGUCUAGACCUUAAUUAUGGACAAUGGAUCAAUCAGAUCAAGUCUAGAAAAUUCUCACCAAAAUACAAACAUAACUAGUCCGUUAAUCCGUCAUGCGAAAAUCCACACACUUAGAACUAACUUCCAGUCAACUUGCUCUUAACAUUCAUUAAAGGUUUCAAUGGUUCUCAUCAAAAGGAUAUUAAACAAGGCAUUCAAGGUUAGGUAUCAAAGGCUUUUUAAUGGUAAGGCUGAUGUGUUUAGUGUUACAUGUUUCUGGAGAGACAAGAUAUUAUGCAAAACAGCAAGAGAUGAUGGAACUGUAAAUGCUCCCACAGUUUCUGUCACAUUAUUCUUGCUUUAAGAUUUCUGAUCUCUUUUCUUCAAGUUCUCCUUAUAAAUCCCCCAGACUUAGAUUUUUGUCCAGAAUGUGAAUCCAUAACUCCUUAAGUGAAUACCUAAUGACUUGGCUCAAGUGAUUUCGGCUUCUAAGACUCUUUUAGGCUUUUGGUUUCCUUUCCUUUCUUUCUUUUUCUUUUUUUUUUCUUUUUUUUUUUGAAAGGGGAAACUGCCUUUUGACUUGGAGUCUUAGGGAGCACGAAAAUUACCUUUAAGAAUGAGUUUUUCUGAGGCAUCAUACGAUUUCUGGCACACUCCCUUCUGGUCUCUUUCAGUCUUUCUCUUGAGUGACUGAAAACUGUGUUGUUCCUCCCUCUCCGACGUUUUUGCACAUAUCUGUCAAAUUAGACCUAAAAGAAUGUAAGAAAUUAGAACAUGAAGAUUUGGGUUAAGGCUGUGGUACCAGCUAAUGAUGAACUGGCCAUCUAGGACAACAAAGAAUGGUAACAAUAAGGUAAAGAUGUCCAAGAUGUAUAUCAUGAUGCCUUUUUAAAACCAUUGAUGAGAAAAUUAGAUGUCAAGAUUAAGUCCAAGUAGAAUGAGCUAGUAUAUCCUGUCAGAAAUGAUCUUCAUGAAUAGAAGUCUUCUGGUGGGAUUUUGUAGUGUAAGUAUUCUAGCUACUGCAUAGUCUAGUACUAAACCUUGAAAGAGCUUUCAUGAGUGAUUGGUGUAGAAGCAAACAGGUUGGUUAUCAUCAUCGAUUUUUUCAUUAUUCUUUCAAAAUGUAUUUGACCCUUUGAAAACACUUUUUGAAACUCAAAAGACUUUUGAAAAGUUUUUAAACAAUCGAAAAAAUGAAAAAUUUUAAAGAAAAUGCAGAAUGCAAGGGCUCAUGCAAGAAAAAGUGGUUAGAAAGGGAUGAAAUCCUCCCCCAGACUUAAAUCACACUGUCCCCAGUGUGAAAUAAAUCAGGAAAGGAUGAGAAAUAGAGUAUGUAAGAAUUUAAAAAGAUUAAGGAAGGGAGAAGUUACCUGGUGAUGGUGAUGGAUUGUGAGGUGGUUGUGGUGGUGAUGCUUGAUCAAACUUGGAUGCUAGGAAUCCAAAACAGAUUUGAUCAAGGUGGUGGUGGAAGUGGCCGAGGGUGGCCGGCUGGUGCUGGCCGCGGAUGAAGACAUCCCGGCCACGGUAGGACGCGUGCUGGCCGCGGUUGAAAGCAUCGCGGCCGCGGUGGAAAGCUUGAUGGCCGCGGCUGAACCUCCUUUGGCCGCGGUCAGCUCCUUUUUUUUGUGGCAUACUAAGACCUGUCUAAAAUGAAAGAAACAAAACUUUAAUAGAAAAUGAAAGCUAAACAAAAGCAAAUAAGUACCUAAAUGGGUUGCCUCCCAUUUAGCGCUUUGCUUUAUAGUCCUUAGCUAGACUUUGCAAAGAAAAAGACUUAGUUCAAAUAGAAUCUUGUCUUAAGACAAGUCUUUUUAGAAAUCUUCCUGUUCUCUCUUGCAAGUUCUUCAUCACUGCAGAGUUCUUCUGGUUCAAAUGUCUAGGCUUUAUGCUUUCCUCUUUUACUCUUAAGUAGUGUAGCUUCAUAGAAGAUAUCCUUGUCGAUAUUGGAAAAAGAAACUCUCCUGUUGGGCCAAUCCAUGAUGGCUCCAGCAGUUGCUAGGAAAUGCUAUCUAAGAAUAACUGGAUAAGAGUCAUCUUUGUUCUUCACUAUGUAUAGAUCGACAGGUGCAAUGCAAUCUCCAAUCUUUAGAGGAAUGUCUCGGGCUAUCCCACUUGGUGUUGCACUUGAAUCAUCUGCUAAGCUAAUCUUUGUCAUGGUACUUGAGAUGUGCUUAAUGCCAAGUAUCAAAGCAGUUGCUUUAGACAUCAUGUUAAUACAAGCUCCAGAAUUACAAAGAAUAUUGAGGAAUCUUACACCUCUAAUGUCACAAGAGAUAAGAAAUUGACUUCUGUCUUGAACUUUGUGCAGAGUUCAAACUGGUCUUUCCUGUGGAUGAUCUGGUGCCUCAAAUGCAGAAUAAGAAUCACAAUAGAACUUGGCAGCAUCGAACUCGAUGAUUGAAUCUAUGUAUGGCAUUUCAAUUCUCUUAGGUGAUUCAUCCUCCACAUCUAUGACAUCUGGUUCUUCUUCGGUGGUCUUCAUGAAUGGGAUAUGGGAGUCAUCCUCUUCUGGUUCAUCAGGGUCUUGGUGAUGCGAACUUGGAGGGAGAUGGCGGUUCCCCGCAGGUGGAGACGUUGCAUCCGCGGUGAAGAAAAGUUCGGCCGCGGUGGGGAAUCCCGAGGGUUGCUCAGCUGCUUCUCCUUCUUGCUCUUCCAGAAUGUCUUCAGGGUUAUUCUGGGUGUCCAUUGUAGGAUUUUCUACAUCAUAAUUGGUUGAUUCUUCUUCUUUUUUUCUGACCAUGAACAAGAGAAUCAUUCUUAUGAUUCUCAAAGUCUUUCUCACAACAAGGUUUGUGUCUCCUUGGCACUUAAAGAGAUGUUUGAUGUCAGAACUGGUUUUCAUGCUCUUGUGCUCAAGCUUACUCAGGCAAAAUUCAAUCUCUUGAAGUUCACCAUCUCUCCUUCCUCUGUACCAUGAAACGAUUUCAUUGGCAUCCUUGAUCUCUAGCUUAGCAGCAUUGGCAUCGAUGGAUCCUUGAAGGAUAUCAUACUUCUGUCUUGGAUGCUCUUCCUCAAAAGCAUCUAUCUUCCUUUUUAGGGCAGCAAUGUCUUGAGAGUGCAGAUCUUCUAGCGAUUUCACAUGGUGAGUGAGGUCAUCGAUCUUCUUGUACAGGAUAGCUUCCGUAACAACUUGAAAAUCAAGGUAUUGAUUCAGCAUAGCUCCUAAUCGUUUCAGUUGGAGCCUCAAUCGAUCAGCCUCAGCGUUUUGGUGCAGAAUCUGAUGAGGAAGAGGAUGAGAUGGUCGAUGAUUCACCAGGUGUGGCGAAUAGGGCUCAUCUCGAUGAUGUGGAGGUCGUGAAUCUCCAUGGUGGUGGUUCGGAUUAGGGUUCUGAAGAUGAUGAUCAAAAUCACGCCUGGAUGGUGAUUCACAUGCGCAGGGAGCUUCACACAGGUCGCAGGACCUUCGCUCGGGGUUAGGAUUUCUCCUUGGAUGAUCCAUGCUUCAAAGGUUUCUGAAACUAGGGCAUACAGAAGAAAGAAUAAGCAGGAAAAGAAAAAGUUAUGGUGUUUAUGAAUUUAGUUUACUUCCUAUGUUGCUUUGGCAGAAACUCGACAUAUAUAUAGUCUUCUGUGGCUUCAACCUCCCAGGUUUAGACCUCUAGAGACUAAAAACCUCCCCGGCAACGGCGCCAAAAACUUGAUGGGCUUGCGGGUCUAGGGUUGUUUUUUUAACAAGCCCGUAGGUCCUCCAAAAGUUUAAAAUUUAUAAAACCCUAGUGUCUGCAAGUGCACAGAUGUACGUUGUAGGACUUAGGGUGUCGAUCUACAGGGAAGAUGUCUAAUCUGCAAGAAACAACAAACUGGGAAGUAAGCAAAGUCAUAAACCAAUAAAAGUUUUGGGGUUUUUGGUUAAGAUCCUAAGCUAAACAUAAUCUAAUAUUCACAAGAAAUGCAAUGCAUGAUGAAUUGUUAAAAGAACAUCUAAAACAUAUUGACUCAAACUAAAGACUCUUAAACUCAUAGGUGAUGAUUUAGACUUCUCUGGUUUACUCUAAUCAAUGUAUGAUGGCAUUUCCAAUUAGCUUCUGGGCGAUUUAUUUUCAUAUGUUUCAGGGAAUCUACAUGGAACUAUAAUAGACAUAUGUAUGAUUAACCAAAUCUCGUGACCUUAAUCAACUAAUCUCUUAGAUCUAGCAAUUAACUUUCGCUCUCAUGCUAAACUUAAGAUCAUGCAUUAGACAUUGAAUUCGUCUGCUCACAUCUUCUCUAUAGGUAGCUUUCGACUCCUAUAGCGAUUAUGUUCUUCUGAAGCUAGGUAUGGAUGAUCUGAUACAGCACUCUCGUGACUCUGAUCGAUCUUAGGCUCAGAGAAUAGGUCAUGAAUCUACUCUCACGCUCUAUGAACAACUUAGAAGAGAUGAGAUCCAGAAUAUGGUAUAGAACAAUAGAAAUCCUAAUCGAUAUAUAUGCUUGUCGAUAUCUUCAAAUAACUUGAUUUUCUGGGACUAAUCUACAUGAUGCAAUGAAUGAUGAAAGACAUAGAAGAAUGCAAAAGAAUGAAACAGAAAAGUUAAAAAGUUAAAAAGGAGAAAGAACAAUGGAUCUGGGAAAUAAUCCCCAUCUACAUCGCAUAACCCUAGAAAACAGAGUUUGGUGGCUCAAAAUCUCAUUACAGGAGCACACACCCGUUUUGGACUGCUAAACAAUGUAUUUAUAGGUCCUAAGGUCUUCCAGAUCUCAUUUAGGGCUUAUCUGAGGAGAAAUGGCGAAGUGGGCUUUGAUGUUGGGCCUUGUGGCUCAUCCUAAGGUCCACCGGGGGUGAGAGUCUUCUAAUACAGGUAAAACAUGUGUUUACCGCAGGUGAGUCUUCCAGGACUGGUGAACUGGAUCAACUUGUUCUCCAUGUAUCUUUUGAUUGCACCGGUGGAUCUUUGUAAUGUAAAGUGCUAUGGAAAGCUGGUUGUCUCCUCUUGAUUGUCUCCAAAUUUGAGCUGGAUCUGACGGUGGGAAAGCUUCCAUUUGUUACGAUCUAACUCUAAGCUGAAAAAUUGGAUUUCUUCUAUUUUGCCAUCAUUUUCUAUAAGUUUCUUGAAAAAAGCCUUAAAACUACAACUACAUGGAAAUCAUAAUAAAAGUUCUUAAAACUAAAUAAAACAUUUGAAAAAAAAUUGAAAUCAAUAGUAAAAAUGGGUAAAAAUCAAGUGUUAUCAUCAAUGUGUGAUAGUUGAUGCUGAUGUGAAAGAGAAAUAGUAAUAACAUUAUUGUAAAUAUGUUUUUUCGACAAAGCUCAAGAAGAUAUAAUACUAGCAAUAGUUCAAUACCCUCAAAUAUCUAAUAAUUUUGAAUUUUUAUGUUAUUCUAGUAAUUUCAGCACUUUGUAAAAUUGAAAUAGCAAUCUUCUUAUUUAUAAAUUUGAUUUUUUGUCAUAAAUUUAUUAUUGAGUAGCAACAAAGUAUAAUUAGCAAUGUACUAGAUUUUACCAGACUAGUGGAAACUCUAAUCUAUUGCUAAAAUUUCAAAAGCCAAUUUUCAGUAAAUUCUUGAUUCAGCAGCUUUUAGCUAAAAUGCGUCUAGGAUCUUUACCAGGUUUUUUUAGUACAAGAACCUUAUUUUUUUAAUACAGAAAUCUAGUACAAGAACCUUAUUGUUUUAAUACAGAAAUCUAGUACAAGAACCUUAUUAUUUUAAAUCUUUUAUUUUAAUACAGAAAUCUAAGCUCCUCCUACGGUUCAGCCCACAAUUCCGAAAACCAUGGAAAACGCGAGCCCCUUGGUUUUUGAAACUUUGAAUAGUCUAUUGUUGGGUAUAUAACUUAAAGUAUUAUUAAGAGCCUAUUUAUAUAUAUUGGCUUUCUCCUAAAAUCAUGGAGUGAUUGGAAGAUACAAGAGGUUUUGUCCAACAUUUUUAAAUCGAAGUCGAAAAACUAGGAUGAUGUGAUGAUACACACGCGCGGCCAUAUGGGUACCAACCCCUAUCUUUCAUUAUUCUUUUUGGACUUUUCCUUCUUUUUUCCUUCUUUUUUCCCCCUAAUAUAUCUAUAUUUUUGGACAUUUUUGCAUGGCAUCUUCAUCUAUCUCUCCUCCAUUUGUCGUUCUUUUUCAGUUCAAUGUAUUAUCAACAAGAGUUCACUAACCUUUUUUUUUGUCGACUUUAUGAGUUCACUAACCUUUUUAUUUUAGACAUUCAUGGGUUUGUUUUUAGCUCGACUUUUUUUUUCUUUUUUCUAGAUUUGGAUUUUUCUAGCUUCACUUUUGAUAGAAUUCGGGAGAAAUAUAAAUUGAUAAACAAAAGGAAGAGUUAACGUCUGAAAAAAAAGGAAGAGUUAACGUUGGAUUGACAAAAAAAGCAAGAGUUAACGUUGGAUUGACAAAAAAAGGAAGAGUUAACGUUGGAUUGAAAAAAAAAAAAAACGUCGGAUUAUGUAUUAGAUAAACCUCCAUGAUCCAUAUAUAAAUAUUUAUAUCAUUGUAUAAAUCUAGCUAGAAAAUUGGUCCUGUCAUAUAUGACAAUAAUUAUAAUUUUUUAUUAAUUUGUUUAGCAUAACACGACAAAAAAAUGAGUUGUAUGUUCAUGUAUUGUAUGCCUCUGUUUUUCAACCUAUUACCUAUGCAUCCUAAUAAUAAUGGAUCAUCAUCUUUGUCUGUCAAUCACAAUUUUAGAGCAAUAUAUGAUAGUUUGGUUCCUCGGUUAAAUUCUAUUUAUGCGAUCAACAAAAUAGUGUAUUGCACAUAUCAUUUGAUUCUUUUUCUAUAUGUAAAGGAAUUAGUAUCUUUUACAAUAUAAAAUUAUUUUUAAAUGUAAUUUUCUUAUAUCAUUGUAAUUUUAUCGGAUGUCUCCCAAAAAAAAAAAAUCUAUACAAAACUUCUAAAUAACUUGAGAGGACUAUGAAUCUGCUAACUAAAAUUUUAGAGCAAACAUCAUCACAUAUUUUUUCAUAAUAAACAGUAUAUUGAUGUGUAUUUGGUUGAGUCUUUUUAUCAACUUAUAUGAGAUCAUAUAAUCAUUGCAUGUUAUUAUUUCGCAGAAUAUCUUCAUUAGUUAUGGGGGAGAUAAUCGCCACCCAUGUGAUAGCCGACAUAAAACAGUUAUCAUAGGUACUAACAGGAUGUAAAGGCUAUACAUACUCUACAAUGGCUAUAUGUUAAUUUUGCUUUGAUAAAAAAAUUCGCAUCAACGAAAAUCAAUUUCCAAUUUGACUCAAAAUAAAAGAAUUUGUUGUUUAGCGUAAUUGCCUAAUUGGUAAGCAGUUUUAGAAUUUAGUGACACAUUCAAAAUCUCUCAAGUCUGAUUCUACGAAAUACAAAGAAUAAUACGUUUGAACUAAGUGGUUUUUAUCAUUACGAAAGCUAUAAAAUGCAAACAAUGACACGUUCAGGUAUACAUAAACUUGAUUAAAUUUCUAUCAAAAAGUUUGGCAAAAAAAAUUGGCAAGUAGUUGAAAUUUGUUUGAAUAUUUACGUUACCAUAUGGAAAUGAGCUAUAAUUAAUUAUUGAUAUUUUUCUUUUGAUUUUUAAGGUUUGUUUAUAGGCGACACCGAAGUUACUUGUAUUAUAUAUUUACAAUAUACCUUUGUCGCAUGAUUAUGUUAAUUAGUUAUUUACAUAAUAGUGGUCAACCAUUAAAAGGACGACUAAUGAACAAGAGUUAAGGCCAACGUUAACUAUAUUCUUUAAAUUAACAACGCCGACCAAACCUUAAAUAGUUGGAUUAGGUUAUUUCAGUAAUUACAAAAAUUGAAAUGGAAAAAUCUGAGAGUGAGAGGGAAACUCCAAAACCACGUUGACCAAAUAAAUCACCGGAAACCAGAAGCUGGAAAUAUGAGCAAAAAAGCCAAAAGCCAAAAGAUUGUAAGUAGGAAAACCAUCUGCGACGCCCAUAGAGAAGAAACGAAACCGGUUUAGUUCCUACAUCAUCACUUUUCCCUCUCCGGAAAACCAGGAAAUUCUGUACUUACGCACAAGUGUAAUUAUACGUAAAGAAAGGUUUGCUAACGCUUGAUUUAAUAAAAGAACACAGUGGAAAUAAAAAUGAUUUGCAGAAGAAAUAAAAUUAACAAAUUGAAGUCACGGAAUUAAAAAAAAAUAAAACUAUCAAGCAUUUAUCAUCGAUAUUUUCUUGAUAAACUUUUACUGACAUUAUUGUAAGCUAAAACUUAAAUUUUUUUUUAAAAUUUUCUAUGUUUUAUUUACGAUUUCAUAUUUAAUAAUAAAAUAUUUAUAAAAAAAGAUUUCGCUAUUUUAUAAAUUACUAAUCAAAGACUUUGCAAGACAUUACAAUAAACCUUACUAUUAAUUAUUGAAAACUAUAAAUAUAGCAUUUGAUUAAUAUGUCAAAAAGAGUUUUUGCGUUUGGAUUAUUUUUUAGUAAUUUUUUAUUGUGUUGACAAUUUUACCACUUUAUGUAUAUGUUUAUGUAUGGUAUACAGAAAAAUAACAUAAAGAACAAAAUUGUUUUUAAACCAAAUUUUUUUUUUUAAAAAGUGUCUAAACACGCUUGAAACUUUGAAAAAAGUGUCUAAUAUUUCUAUGUUAAAUAUGUUGAAUGUUGAUGAUAAAAUAUAAAAUAUGUUAAAAAUGUUAUAUUUAGACAUUUUAUUGUAAAUAUAUUGAGUAAUGUGUAUUUAAAAAAAGUAACUAGAGAUUAGGUUAGACUUCGACAUUCAAUGCCGGUUGUUUUAAUGAAAGAAAACUACCGAAUCUAACCAAUAUACGUUGACAUUAUUAGUUUAGUUAAAAAGUACAAUAAUUUAGUCAAAGUGAUCCUUUCAGAUAAAUUUAUUAGUAAGUAGUUCUUCGGAUAUUAAUGUUAAUUAUCAGAAUUAAGAUGGAGCUACAUACUGUAGCCGAUCAGAAAACGCGGCGAUUCGACCAACCUCUGUUACCAUAGUGUCUCCGCCACGCGACCACACUAUUCCGCUUUGCAUGCGACUUUGAAGUUCGAACCUCUCUGCUCUUAUUUCCCAUUUUACCCUCUUCUCUUUUACGAGUAAUUUCGCUUUCAAAUUCACCUCCUCCAAUUAUUUUGGCAGUCCAUUAUGAAUUGUCGAAUAUAAAACGCGGUCAGAUAUUAAAAAAUAUUUGAAAACACAAAUAGAAACGCUUGCUUGGCUUUUUUGCCGAUGAAGAUCACGUGAAUGAAGGUCGGAGACAAAACACAAAAAAAGCUUUGAUAUAGUAUUUUUCAUAUUUAUCAGUAGGUAGAAAAAAAAAGAUUGUUAAACAAAAUUGCAUCGGAUGGUAAUAAAAACGAUGAAAACUAAAACGACGAUAAAUGUCCAUGUUCAAGUUAACAUAAUACUAGAGAUAACACGAUUCAUGAACCCUUUUUGUUAUUAUAUUGUGGAACACUUUUGCAUAAAGUAUAUAAACUGUAGAAUGCAUUUCUUUUAAAUUUCGAGUUCAAACUUUUUUGGGACAGAAUGUUAUUUUAUAAAUCAAAACAAAGGCUGACUCCAAGUAUUAAGAGAAAUUAUGUGUUAAAAAUCUCAAACUCUUAUAAUUCAUCGACAAAUUUAAUAUUUUGAUAUGUUCUUCAUUUUAAAAUAUAAAUCGGUUUAUGAUCUAUUUUUUUUGUUUCAAAAUAUAAGUUGUUCUUGAUAUUUUAUGCAUAAUUUUUAAAAACAUUUCAAUUUUAACCUUAUUUUUAUAAUAUAUUAAGAGAAAGACAAUUAUAUAAUAUAUUAAUAAAAAAUAUAAUAGAAAUUUUAAUAUACUUUAUUAAUAUGUGUACAACCAUCUAAAACGACUUUUGAAAUUGAUGGAGUAUUUAGUAACAUAUUUUUAUCAAUUAAGUAUAUCAUAUUAUCAUUUAUCUUUCUAUAUAGUCAAUACACAUUUUCAUUUAUCUUGGAGUACUAAAUUUACCCACAGUAAAUUGUGGAAUUCAUUUUUUGUUUUGUCGCUUACGAAAUUCAUCUAAGCAUACUAUACGAUACAAAUUAUGAAUAUACACAAAAAUAAAUUCCAUCGCUUGUUAUGAUCUCUCUCCGACCAAACCCAGCAGCUUCCUUUCUCUCUUAAAUACCUCUCCUUUCUUCUAAGCUCAGGACCGUACUGUACUUUCCUCUUAGCACAAAAAAAAAAAAAAAUUCUCCUCUCAUCUUCUUUCAAAAAAAAAAUGCGUAUGAGCUGUAACGGAUGUCGAGUUCUUCGAAAAGGCUGCAGUGAAAACUGUAGCAUAAAGCCUUGUCUCCAAUGGAUCAAAUCCGCCGAAUCUCAAGCCAACGCCACUGUCUUCCUCGCCAAAUUCUACGGCCGUGCCGGUCUCAUGAACCUCCUCAACGCCGGUCCUGACCACCUCCGUCCUGGUAAACCAAUUCGUCAGCUCAAAACAGAUUUACUCUUAUCAUACAUCUGAUAAUAGACUAUCCCCCUGUUUCCGAAAACAGAGGACUCUGUUUUUUCCUUUAUCAUGCACUUGAUAGUGGAUCAUCCCCUGUUUCUGCUUUUUUUCUUUGUUCUCUGUAAUCAUGCAUUAGUGGAUUAUUUUCAAACAGAUGACUCUGCUUUUCUCUCUAUCAUGUAUCAAGAAAUGGCUCAUCCCCUGUUUCUGCUUUUUCAUUGUUCUCUCUAAUCAUGCAUUAGUGGAUUAUUUCAAACAGACGACUCUGCUUUUCUCUCUAUCAAUAUCAUGCAUCAAGAAAUGGCUCAUCCUCUGUUUUUAAAGCUCUGUUUUUUUCUCUAUCAUUCCUCUGACUAUGGAUCAUGCCCUGUUUUUGAAAACAGAGGAAUCUGCUUCUUUUUUUCUUUAUCAUGCAUCUGGUAAUAGUUUUGUUUUUUUUUGUUUUUUGUUUUUUUUUGCAGCGAUAUUUAGAUCAUUGUUAUACGAAGCAUGCGGGAGGAUUGUGAAUCCGAUUUACGGAUCCGUCGGGUUAUUAUGGUCCGGGAAUUGGCAUCUUUGUCAAGCAGCCGUGGAGGCAGUGAUGAGAGGCUCUCCUGUAACUCCGAUCGCCUGCGACGCAGCGAUCACAGGCCAGUCUCCUCCUUUCAACAACAACAAACUCUUCGACAUAAGACACGUGUCGAGAGACGAGAACGGCUUAAAGAGUCGGUGUCGGUCGAGCCGUGGUGCAAACAAACAAGAGAGAAACGUGAGGUCGUCGCUGAGUCACGAGUCUUCACUGAGUCACGAGUCGACGGUGGUGAAGGAUGAAGGGAGUAUGGUUUCGUCGGAGGAGACGAUGACGGAGGAACCGAGUUGGAUCGGGCUUGAGCUUACUUUGGGGUUGGAGCCGGCCAUGGCACGUGAGAGUCACGUGGUGGUGCCGAUGAAGAAAAGGAAGCUAGAGAGAUGUGGCACGUGCAAUGAUGAGGACACGUGUAAGAUUGAGCUUGGACUUGUGUGCAGUGAGUGAGAUGAAUGGUGUGUUUUUUUGGGGCUGUGUGUUGAGUUUUAUUAGCCUUUUAGGUGUACAAAGAGAUUAGCAAAUCUCUCUUUUUUAGUCUCUUUUAAGUUUUGUUUUGUUUACUGUUUUGCAUGUUCGGUGUUUUUUCAUAAAUGUGUAUGAUAAAGAGGUCUUAACUUAACAAAAUUGCAAUCUUCAAAAAUCUGUGCGGAUUAAAUGCAGAAGAUCUAAAAAAUUAUAGGAUGCAUUAAUUAAGCCUCAAAAUUUCAAAGUGGCUUAGUGGUGAAAUCUCAAUAUAAAUAUACAUGACGAUUUAGCCAUUUAUCAUAGAUAAAGCAUAUGGUUUCAUUUAAAAGCUACAUGUGUGAUGUGUGUUAGAUUUUGGUUCGCAAAGUUUCUCACAUGUGUGGUGAUGGAUUAAUUAGGUAGAGAAGAG
Molecule: long non-coding RNA, 60887 nt
Filed under: Eutrema salsugineum
Lineage: Eukaryota; Viridiplantae; Streptophyta; Magnoliopsida; Brassicales; Brassicaceae
Description: long non-coding RNA (ESAL_LNC000110)
Source: RNAcentral